UAAAUUACAAAAUAAUAAAUUAAUUUUUAUCUUGUACCUUAUUUUCAUCUCAACACUACAACAGAAUUAGGUUAUAGGGACACAUGUUUGGGAUACUUUUAAGUAAAUAUCUUAUUUAUGCUAAAACUUAAAAAAACAUCUACUUAUGCCUAAAUAUAAAGCCCAAUCAAACUAAAAAUAAAAGAUUACUCUACUCAACCCACCACACCCAGUCCAUUUGACCCGAUUACAAACAAAAAAAAAAAAGAAAAAUCAAUUACCAUCUUUUCUUUUCUCUUCACUCAAUCCAUUGAAAUUCUAGACGAAGAGCCUUUCCUGUCGUCCUCCUCCGUCACCAUAGCCAAUGAGAUAGAGUUUCGGCGAUUGCUAAAUGCUUAAAUAAGUGUUGGUAAUUAGCAGCACUCUUUUAGGCUAUAGCGACACUCUUUAACUGUCACUAUAUACCUAGCGACCCCACAUAUAGCAAUACUUUUUAAAAGUGUCGGUAAUUUUAGCUAGCAGCACUUUUUUGACAUGUACCUAUAUUUAAAAGUGUCGGUAUAAACCGUUUUUGUUGUAGUGCAAAGAGAUCCAAUUUUAAAAUAAUUGUUUAAUUCUGCUUUAAAAUGUUAUAGUUUUAGUAAAAUUUACCUCUAUCAACUUAUUUUGGUAAAAUUUUACAAUCAAAUAAACCGCUUCGUUCAUUUUAUUUAGAAAUAAAAUUAGCUAAAAAUAUGAAUCAACUAAAUUCGAACUUGGAAUCUCGGGUACCAACCACCGAGCCCUUUUCCACUUGCGCUAGGGACGGUCGAUAGUGCAGGUGAAAGUUAAUGCAGUUUUUUAUACAAGAAAGUAUAAUUGAGAGACGAACUUAAUUAAGUGCCCAAAAGAUUUCGUAAUCUAGGGUAAUAAAUAAUUAAGUUAAUGAGGAUUAGUUAGGAUAAGGUGAUUUGAACAAGUUCAUUUACUCAACUUCUUAAUGAGGAUUAGUUGGGAGAAGGCAUUUUAAUGAGAGGGUUAGUUACGAUAAGGUGAUUUGAACAAGUUCUUUUAUUACCAUCCCUAGAGCAAGUGACAAAGGGCUUGGUGGUUGGUACCCGAGAUCCAGGUUCGAAUCCUAGUUGAUUCACAUUUCUAGCUAAGUUUAUUUCUAAGUGAAAUAAACGAAGCGGGUAGCGUGCUACCUAUCUCUCAAAAAAAAAAAANAAAAAAAAAAACAAGUUUUUUUAUUUUUUUUUUUUAUUAAAAUGCACCAUCGUAGUGCAAUAGAAUUUUAAUUUAUUGGACGUGUUCUAUAAUAUUCAAAAGACAUACAUAUCUCAAAUCAUAAGUUUUAGUUAUCAUUAAUUUCUUCUGGAUUGAACAAAAACAUUGAAUAUAAACUAUAAAAAAAUAUCAUUCUUUCGUAGCUUAAUUUUUAGACACAAACAAUUGUUUCACAUGAUAUCAUAGCAAAACGUCAUUCGUUUGGUUCGGGGUUAAGAAAAAAGUAACUAUUCCAGGGAUAGAGUUAAGUUCAAGGUUAAAGUGGGGUUAAAAUUUUUUUGUGUUUGGUUGGGGGUUGGAGUUAGUCUAGAAUAAUAAAAAAUAGUGUCUGGUUGGAAUAGGUGGGAUAAGAAGAUAAUGAUUGAUAAAGAAGGAUAAUGAUUGGUUGGAGUAUGUGGGAUAAAAAUGAUAGUGGGUUAUUAUGAAUAGAAAAUAGUGUUUAGUUAGAGUUUGGUGAGGUUAGGUGGGGUUAGCUAACCCGGGAUAAUUUAUUUGAGGUGGGGUUAGCUAACCCCACCCAUUUUUUGGAGUGUUUGAAAAUAAUAUGGGGGUUAAGGGGUUAUUCCACCUCUUAACCCCCAACCAAACAAGGACUAAGAGUUCAAAUCCAAAUUUAGUGCCUCUUAUUUAAUUCAAGUAUAUAUCUUCGUUUGUUUUAUCCAAAAUUUUCACACUAGCACAUAAGAGGAUGAAAAAAGUACCGUCAGCUAUUAAUCUUUUUUAUCUUUUUUUUUUUUCCAUCUCUUUCUUUUCCAUAAUUGACUUGAAAAAGUUAUAACUUUGGUUGCAUUCUUAAAAAGGAGAUUGUUAUCAAAUAAGAUAGAUCUCUACUUAGAUGCUUUAGGCAAAAUCUUCUCAAAUAAGAUAAAUAGUUAUUAUGUAACAAUUAGUAGCAUUCCAUAAGAAAGGAGAUUGUUUCACUCAAGGUGGGGAGGAAGAAAGGAGAUUGUUCCACCGAAGGUGGAGAGAAGUAACGUGAAGUGAUUUUCGACUGUAUAUGCCCAUUUUCUUUAUUUGGUUCAUCAAAAUUAAAUAAGACCGUAAUUCAAUUUUUUCGUAACGUUGUAUUUGAUUUAGCAUUGGUUGGUAAUGAUGAAGUCAAUCGCAGAAGAAAAAGAGAUAGAAAAAAUAAUAAAAUUUGAACAAUUGUUUCCAUAAUGUUGUAUUUCGUUUAGCAUUGUUUGGUAACGGUGAAGUCAAUUACAGAAGGAAAAGAGAUAGAAAAAUAAAAUAAAAUUUGACGAUUGUAACACACACACACUUUUUGGGAAACAAACACAGAAAGUGAAAAGCAUCAGUUUUGAGGCCAUUAAACGAACGGCGGUUAGAAAAAUAGUUUUUACUUGAACUUUAUUUCAAUUAAAAAUUAUUUUCAACCUGAAAAAUAGUUACACGCACAAAUUAACAAGCAGACCCUUGGUGGAGUCGAGCUUGAGCAAGGUUUGUUGAGCAUCUCACUAACUUAGGGCCUCCAUGGUACUGAGGGUUGUCUAAUGCAUGUUAUUAGAUAAAGAUAUGCUCCUGUGUAUUAAGUGGACUAUAUAAAUUAUAUAUUGUAACUGAAUCAUUAGAUUUUACAUCGUGAUGUCUUUUACACAAAUAAUGGUACAUUUUUUUCAUCGCACUUUCUGCCUGUACGUAAUGCAUCGUCCCCUCAACUCCAAAUAGAAACUAAGAUAGUUAAUGAUCCAAGAUAUAAUGUUUGUUUUUUUUUACUCUUUAUGUUGGAGUGCAAAUAAUUUUUCUCACAAUAAUAAUUGUAAUAGGCUGGAGGACCCUCAUGGACUGUGCUACUGGGGAGAAGGGAUAGCACCACUGCAAACAUCACUGCAGCCAACAAUCUCCCUAGCCCCUUUGAUAACCUGACCACUCUUGAACAGAAGUUCGCCGCCGUCGGUCUCAACGACACCGAUCUCGUCACAUUAUCAGGUAUCUGCAUAAUCAUCAAAUAUCAACACUUUCUCAACUCGAAAUGCAAAAGUCAAAUGUUCUAAAACACACACAAAAAACUGGAACAAAUUAUGGUUUGUUUAGCUCCCAACAAAUUAAGCCCUAAAAAUAUGUUUGCUAUAGAGCUCUCUAAAAACAUAUACUACUAUACUACCCGAAAAGUCAUGGGAGUUGAAUCCGGCAUGCAAGGUUUGAACUUGAGUGACAGACCAACUGGUUUAUACAGUGGCUAUUAAUGUAUGUCUUUUUGUAGCUGGUUAAUGUUCUCUUUUAUAUUCACUUUUGUCAAUAACAGGAGCUCACACAUUCGGCCGAGGCCAAUGCCGGUUCGUCACUCCACGGCUCUAUAAUUUCAGCAGCACCGUGAAUACAGACCCGACCCUGAACUCAACCUAUGCGACCACAUUGGAGCAAAACUGCCCCCAGGGCGGGAACGCAUCGGUCCUGAAUAAUCUCGACCCGAUCACGCCGAACACGUUCGACAGCAACUACUACAUAAAUCUGCAGAACCACCAAGGGCUCUUCACAUCUGAUCAGGAGCUCCUGUCGGAUCCCAAUGCGACGACGACCGCCUCGAUCGUCAAUAAUUUUGCCGGCAACCAGAGCGCAUUCUUCGAUAGCUUCGUGCAGUCGAUGAUCAACAUGGGGAAUAUUAGCCCCUUGACAGGGAGCAGUGGGGAGAUCAGAACCAACUGCAGUGUGGUGAAUAGCGGAUCCGGUUUGGAGUUGCAUAUUCGGAUUCAACAUGAUUCUGACAAGGGUUCAGCUGCAGAAUAAAAUAUUAAAAAAUAGGGUAAAUUGCAAAUUUGGUGUGGUGGGUGACAUUUUGAUCCUCAAACUUUAAUUUAUUGUCAUUUCUUGCUCAAACUUUUGGAAUUGGUGCAAUUAAGUUCUAUAACCCAAAUUAGUUGACUAAAUAUUGAUAUAUUACUAAAAUAGAAGUAAUGUAAUAGUGAUGUGAUUGAUAAUACACAAAUAUUUAAAAUGUCACAUUACUUUUACAUCAGCGAUCAAUGCGUCAAUAUUUAGUUAAUUAAAUUAGGUUUUGGAACUUAAUUAUAACAAUUCUGAAAGUACAAGCUAGAAAUUACAACAAAUUAAAGUUUGAGCACUAAAUGUCAUCGGUCUCAUAGUUUGAAGAACAAGCAUGCAAUUUACCGCAAUAAUAUAUAAUGUAUCUGAACUUAAAUCUAAAUAGCUUUUUGUGAUCACAAUAAUAUGAUCAGAGAUAUACUCUCUCUCUCUCUCUCUCUCUUUCUCUCCUCUUUCUGGCUCUCUUUCUCAUCUUACUUUUUCCUCAUCCACAAUGGUACUCAUAACAGUGCUAGAAAAAAGUCUAAAAUGUGGAAGUCACAUAGAUGAUAUGGUACUGUUUUCAACCAAUCACAAUUGAAUCCUAGAGUUCGCCCAUUUUAUCACACGGUGUUAGAAAAAUAGUUUUGGUGUACUAUUUUUCAAAAAGAGAAAAUUUGAUUGGUUGGGAUAUGGGUGACGUAGUGCGACCGCUACAUAGAAGACUUUCUCUAGCAUUAGAGUCCUCGUCCUCCUGUCAAUAAUGUGUGUUAUUUUUGUGUUUGGGUAUUGUGAGUAUUCUGGUCAUAGCGGUGUGCGGCAAAUUCAAUAAAGGCUUGUUGAGGACAUUGUGCUUGGUUACUGCUUUCACAUGGCUCAAGUUUUUCUUCAUAGUGUUUAAUUUUUGUCUAUUUCUCACGGGCUUUCACGUCGAUUAUGACUUUAAUUGUUCUGUCAACUUAGUUGCUUUGAUUUGUUGGUUUUGGGGUUUUAUUUAUUGUUUUCUUUUUAUAUUUUUAUUGUCCAGGGUUGUGCUUAAAAUUUCUCUCCAAAAUUAUGUACUGUCAUAAUCAAGUUCUACUCCAACGAAAUGCCUACGGAUUUUUUUUCUUUAAAACAAAUAUAUAUGAUUUAGAUCAUAAAUAUGUUUUCCCCAGUGAACUGUUUAGAUCACAUAAACCAAAAAAAAACUACUUUGCCUUUUUUUAAAACUGUUUGUUAAGUUCAUUCGAGUUUAACAAGCAUUAAGAAUGGCUUCAUUUCGCUGUUGCAGAUUGUUUAUAAACUUUGUAAUUGUUUCAUGUCAAAAUUAAAUUUCAAGAGUAUUAGCUUUUGUUUUUUUUUGUUUUUAAAAUAAGUUUGCAAACUUACAAUAAUAUAUAAAAAAGAGCAUAUAGAGAAAUCCAUAUCUAGUUUCUUGAAUAAAGUAGAACUUGAACAAUGCAAAAAUAAUAUACACAAAUAAUGGCAAAUAUAUACAACAUCAGCUAUUGUCACGUACGUUACGGGAUUCUUUUUGAAAAUCUUUUUUAAAAAACUAGCGAAAAACGUAAAUUUUUUUUUUUUCUAAACACCUUUAAAGGCACCUCGAGAAUUCGUCAAGAUCUAUCAUAUGGAUAAGGGAUCCCUAAGCGAAUGAAUAGAAUCUCUCUUAUACAUGCAUGACAUUGAACAUUUAUACAAACAUCAACCCCACAACAAGCACACAGACAGAUAUACACAUAAAUAUUUGAAAUUCAUAAUUAGAAAUCAACUAAACCAAUAACUAAAUCCAUAGUUAGCAGUCAUUAAUAAACAAUAAGUAACAAACUAAACUAAGUCACGUGGAUCUGAAACAUAAAACCAAUCUGAAUAAACUGAAACACAUGGUAACCAAUCUGAAACAAUAUAAAACCAAUCAAAAAUGAGUAGAGUAAAAAUAAAAUAAAAUAUUAAGCUUAUAAAGAAUUUUUUUGAGUUAAAAGUUAAAACUGAUAAAAAAAUAAUAUUCUUAAUUUUAAAAUUCUUUGAAUAGAUAAAAUAUUAUAUUAACUUAUAUUCUAUAAAAACCAAUUAAACUCAAAACGUGUAUCUUGGGUAAAUGGAAUUGAUUUAUGAUGUAAACCAACUGGUCAAACGAAGAAGAUAAAACUUCGCAAUCUCUCAUUAAAACCUUAUUUCCAUUAUUAAAAAUAAAAAAUGAUCUUGUUGCAUAUGAUGGCCAUAAAUAUUUUAAAUGAAUAUUUUAAUCAAUCUUUAAUUAUCUCUCUUAGCAUAUAUUUACACAAGUUGGAGUUUGGAGUUAGUAAAACAUGUGUCCAGAGAGACUCUUCUCUUUCCCCACUCAAGAUCUUAAUUUAUUAUGUAUGUUUUCGAAAAAUAUGCUUUGAUCAGAUUCUAUAUUUCAUGAACCACGACAAACGUAACCAAGAAAAUAGAAAAAGACAUAUUCAUCUUCAACAAAAAAUAUUCUAUUCAGACAUAUAAACAUUAGCACAAAAUAUAUUUUAGACGAUGCUUUUUAAACGCUCAAUUCUAGCAUUGUUAAUAUUUGGCAUGCGUCGACACUAUAAUUAAGUAAUAUUUUUAUCAGAUACUGAUAAAAAUUCUCUGACGCUAUAUUAAAGCGUUGGUGUAUUUAUUCCGACACAUUUACUUAACGACUCUUUGCUUGACACUUUUACAAGCGUCGGGAUUAUUCUUACCGACGCUUGUAUGUAGUAUCUCUGGUGUUUGGUUACCCGUGGAUUUCAGCAUCUGAGACUUAUCGACACAUCUGGAGAGUGUCGAGAUAAGUCGCAAUCGUUUUGGCGUGAAAUGGACGCAAAACGGACUGAGUGCAACGUGAGAGCAGAGUUUGAUAUUGAAAUUUGCAAAGUGUGGGUUUCAGUAUUAAGUACCGGUACCAUGCAGGGGAGUACCGGUAUCCAGUGUAUUUUUCGAACAGCUGCUCUCGGGUUGCGAUAAUUGAUGCUGAGUACUGGUAAGGCAUCGGGCUGGUACCGGUACUCUAGCUGGAAUGUUGAGUUGGUGAGGGGUAGAACGGUCUUUUUGUUGGUGGUUAUCCACACCACCAAAUCCCUCGUAUUUAUCCACCAGAGAGAUUAAUUAUCCUUCUCCUCUCUUUCUCUAACUUUGGUUAUAUGCUUGGUGGAGACCACAGCUUGAGCUCGGAUCGACGUCGACGUUGCGCCGGGGAGCUGAUCGAGCGCGUGGACGUCGCGGUUGCGCCGUUAGAGGCCGGACGAGCGCGUAUUUUCCCUUCUUUUGACUUCUCACCGUAGUUGGACUAGUUUUUUGAGGUGGGUUGAAGUUUACAGAAAUCGCCGGAAUACCUCCUAUGUUUUUAUACCGUCGACAUGUAUCAUUUGUGUAUUUUUCUUACUAGUACUCGAAUUCAUGGAUUAGUGUUUAAAUCUGAAUUUGGCGUUAAGCUAGUAGUUUAAUAUUAUAUGUUAGACUUGGAAUUGACUUAGGAGAAAACAUAUAGAUCCUACAUUGUCACUUUCUGAAAAUUACCAGAUUUAGUUUUAGAAGCUAUGGUUUAUUUGUAUCGUCGUUGUUAGUAUGCGAUGGAUACCCAGAUUAGGAUAGGAUGAGUUUACGCUCGUACUGGGAUGCCGAGUUUAUUUUUACAGUAGUGUGUAGACUGUUUCAGACUGUCGGGUGCCGUCGCGGUUGACAGUGGACCCAAAUUUCUAUAUUUACAUCAGAUUGUGCCAAGGGCACGUGAGUUUUGGUUGUUAGACCAGUUAGACCCAGUUGUUUUGAUUAUAGUCCGUGAGAGCCUGAUUGAGCUCGUUAGAGACAUACUUUCAUACUCGGUUGGGUAGCGCCCACGAGUGCCACUCCGGAGUCGGGCUUAAUGCGUUUGCGUUGAUGUCGUAGUGUCCUGGUUGGACUUGGUCUCCACCAACAAUCCAGCGUGGUGGUGGUUGGUGUAGUUUCGACAGAUGGGACGGUUGUGUUCACAGUCCCUAAUGAGAUUGGGUCAGAGAUUGCAUCUUGCUUAUAUCUACAGAUAACUAAUGUUGGUUAGCGACAGUAUAGUGGCAUGUAGCCGUAGAGUUUUUUCAGCUUUCUUUACUAUUCUUGAGCAUACUUUCUGUAGACUGUGGGUGAGCCGUUGAGGUCGGCAGUGGUACCCACUGAGGGCUACUUUUUUUUGGAGUAGUUCUCACACCCAGUUGUUGACCCUUUUUUGCAGAGCCUUCGUCCGCGGCUGCUGCUGUUCCUGAUUUGGAUCGUGGAAAGGGAGUCGCGAGCUAAAUCCCUUCUAGUCUUGUUGCUGUUCUAGAGGAGUACCAGCUAUAGAUAGUUUUGAUUUUUAGUUCAUGUAGAUACUGAUGUUAGUUAGUCGCUGGAGCGAGUGAUGUCUGUAUCUUGGAGAUUAUGUAUGUAUAGUGAACCUGAUAUUUAUUUAUAUAUGUGUACAGUUCUGUUAGCAGCUCUAUACUACUAGUUGUAGUUUUGUAUGAUUACAGGUAUAGAUACAGCUAUCGCUUUAUAUACAGAGAAAAUUCUUUUGUAUACGGCGGGUCUAUUGGCGUGCCCGAAAAAAUGUGGUAAUCCGGGAUGUGACAUUUAAAGUAUCGCUAAUUAUUGUUUAAACUGCCCUUAAGUGCAAGAUUUGUUGUAGUGAAAUAUUUUAUGUAGUAUAUUUUUCUUAUUUUAUUUACGGAGUUUAUAAUAUUUAGUAAAUGAGGAAUUUAAUUAAAUGUCUAAAUUGAAAUAUCAUACUUACCCGUCAAAGUUUUUUUUGAGAAAAAGAAAAUUUUAUAUGUGAAUAUAUUAUCUAACCAAAUAAUGAAUAACACGGCCUUUUUGAAAAUAAAUAUCAGUCUCUCAAAUAAUUCCAAUCAUGAAAGAAAAUGCACAAAUCGAAGGAGUUAUUGCGUGCCCGGGGAACGAGACAUCCGGGGCGUGACAUAACCCUUCUUUGGAUGUCCGAAUAAAUUAUUUAGUGAUAACUUACACUACAACAGAAUUAGAUUAUAGAGACACAUUUUUGAGACACUUUUAUAUAAGUGUCCCAUUUAUACUAAAACUUUUAAAAAAGUCAACUAAGGCCUAAAUAUAAAAUCCAAUCCAACAAAAAAUAAAAAAGUUAUUCUGCUCAACCCAUCCCACCUAGCCCAUUUGGCCUAAUUAUAAAAUAGAAAAGAAAAAGAAAAAAAAAUCGAUCACCAUCUCCCCUUCUCUCCUCACUCAAUUCACUGAAAUCCUAAACGAAGACCCUUCGCUCUCCUCCUCCUCUGCCACCGCAGCCAACGAGGUAGAGUUCCGGCUGUUGCUAAAUACUUAAAUAAGUGUUCGUAAAUUAGCAGCAUUCUUUUUAGAUUAUACCAACACUCUUAAACUAUCACUAUAUACCUAUCAUCUCCACAUAUAACAAUAUUUUUUAAAGUGUCGGUAAUUUAGCCAGCAACACUUUUUUUGAUCUAUACCGACAUUUAAAAGUGUCGCUAUACAUCAUUUUUAUUGUAGUGUUAUUUGGAAUGAGAAUUUUCUUGUGUGAUUGAAGAUGUUCGAUUUUUGCUAUUUAACUGUUUUGACAUUUGUAAUUUGAUAAUAUAACAUAUUUCAUCUAUAAAGUAACUUUUCUUAUUCUGAAAAAAUGACUAAAAUGCUAGAUAUAUGAUAUUCCAUUUAGACAUUUUAUCAUACGUCUCAUCUGUCUUAUAAAUAAAUCAAAGAUUACCGAAAAAAUGAGAAUUAUUGUUUAUGAUUGCUAGUUACGAGUAUAAUCUUAAAAGAUCUUUAAUGUGCAUGAUCUGGUUAAACCGGUGUAAUCCGAAUAGGGGGUAAGUCAUAUUAUUUAAAAAAUAUUAAUGAUUUAAUGACUAAAUAUAAUAUGCCUAUGUACACAAUUGAUUAUACUUCUCAUCUAUAAAAUAUUACAAACUUCAUUAGUAUUGCGCUGAAUAAGAUGUUCAUAAAUCCAAAUAGACUCAAAGUCAAAAUUAAUCCUGAUUUCCAUUACUUUCUUGUACCUGUGGGUUUUAUAAAGAAAAUCAAGACAAAUUUAAAAUACAUAAAUAUUUUAUUCUGUAUAUAUUUACAUAAAUAUUUUAUUCUGUAUAUAUUUGAAUUUUAUUUUAUUUACAUUAAAUAGGUGUAAGUGCUAACUAACUAUUUCAAAAGCAUGAUAGCACUCAUUGGUUUCCUUUUUGAGAGAUAGAUAGCACGCUACCCGCUUCGUUUAUUUCAUUUAGAAAUAAACUUAGCUGGAAAUGUGAAUCAAUUAGGAUUCGAAUUUGGGUCUCGGGUACCAACCACCAAACCCUUUGCCACUUGCUGUAGGGACGGUCGGUGAUAGUGCUCAUUGGUUUCAAUCUGACUCAACCCACCUAGAUGUUAGGUUUAUUGUUUGGGCUCAUCCAACUCAACUUAUUGGGCUCAUCCAACUCAACUUAUUACUCUCCUAGCCCUAUUGUCUAUAAUAACUAUAAAAUUCAUACUCUGUAAUGAAUUAGUUUACUUAAAUUCAUUUGAAUUUAUAUUCAAAUUCUGGAGGAAAGAGAGAAAAGGUUAUUUUGAGAUUCAAACACCUUCAAAUGAAACAAAAAACACUAUUUUAACGGUCCGGCAGUACUGAAAGCGUGGUGAAGUCCAUUUUCACAUUUGGCUCAUCGAAAGCUCAAAAAAGCACGAAAAUAAAAACGAGGUCAAAAUUGAAAAAUUAUUUUUUAAAAAAAGAUUAAAUAUUUUAUGUACCAUUUCACGGGAAAUUGAAUAGGGAGGUACCUUUAUGCUAAAUACACGUACUGCUGAGGGCUUAGAACAAAAUUUUGAAAAUGGAGGGACUUUGGAGCAUUUUUGCCAAACCCUACAUAUUGGUUCGGGUAUAAGUAAGAACUAGCUUAUACCAGAGAUAGGUACAAAUUUAGAUAUAAGCGAGAACCAAACCAAUUUUGUGUUUGGAUGAAAAUUUGGUUGUUCACGGGAAUAAGAAAAAUAGCGGUUGGAUAGAUAAGAUGGAAUAAGAAAAAUAGUUGAUGGUUAUAAAUAGAAAAUAAUGAUAUUACCCCUCAUUAUAUUUGAAUUUNGGAGGAGGAAACCCUUGGGAGGUCGAAGGCGUGGGCCUGGGGUGGCACCGAGGGGAAAGGAGAUUGGGUCAAGUGGCUUAGUGGGAGAGAGAGAGAGAGAGAGAGAGAGAGAGAGGCUUGGGAGACUGUUGGCCGAUUUUCGACGGUCGCGGGAUGGUCGCCGGUGGUUGGGAUCGACGACGAUGUAGCAGAGGAGAGUCCUUGUGACAGCUGAUGGGUUGAGAGGGAGAGGGGAUUGAAUAGGGUUGAUGGAAACCCUAAGAGCCAGUUUGGAUUGGGUACAAGAUGGGGUAUAAGGUCCUUAUACCCCAUCUUGACCUUAUACCCCAUCUUGUACCCGAACACAAUUUGGGCUAGGUCGGAACUAUAUUUCCCACCUUAGCGCUAAGGUGGGAAAUAUAGUUCCGACCUAGCCCAAAUUGUGUUCGGGUACAAGAUGGGGUAUAAGGUCAAGAUGGGGUAUAAGGACCUUAUACCCCAUCUUGUACCCAAUCCAAACUGGCUCUUAGGGUUUCCAUCAACCCUAUUCAAUCCCCUCUCCCUCUCAACCCAUCAGCUGUCACAAGGACUCUCCUCUGCUACAUCGUCGUCGAUCCCAACCACCGGCGACCAUCCCGCGACCGUCGAAAAUCGGCCAACAGUCUCCCAAGCCUCUCUCUCUCUCUCUCUCUCUCUCUCUCUCCCACUAAGCCACUUGACCCAAUCUCCUUUCCCCUCGGUGCCACCCCAGGCCCACGCCUUCGACCUCCCAAGGGUUUCCUCCUCCGGCAGCCCGAGCGCGGCCAGGCCCUCCCCGAGCAAAGGAUCAAAGUUUGAUCCUGUUUGGAGUGGUUUCGGGCCAUACCUCUGUUUGACCGCCGCUAUCGCUUCCUACCUUUGCUGUCGACCCGGAAGCACCCUCCGGAGUCGCCCUAACACUCCCGAACUUCUCCUAUGGCCAAAAAUCUAUGUUCCGGCCUCGGGGCUUCUUGGUUGGUCACAACAUCAAAAGCGCCGCCACCUAUGCCUCCCGCCGCCGGCAGUUGCCUCCCCUAACUCCUUCCUAACUGCCACUAUAUUCAUCAACCGGCGCAUGUGCCCCCUGGCCGUCGAAGCUCGGGAAGAAGAAGAUGCUAUCUUGGUUGACCCGAGCUAGGGUUUUCUUUUGGCCGACUUCAUUUUCUCGGCCAUCCCUGAUACCACCGACUCCACGGAAGGUGAGCACGAUCCUCCUAAAGUGCUUGGACAUCCGUGCUCACAUUCAUUGUAGUCCAAGAGGUCUCGAUUUGUGGAUCCUGCUAUGACGCUCCCAAAGACCUUGAAAACUACAAUUCAUGUAACCCUGGUGCACUUCUCAGCCUUCGUUUGCACUUCAAACAAUGAGCUCGGGCUUUGGUACGUCGAGACCUGUCAGCCAACUAAAAGAUACGACGACCCAGAGAUCUAAAAAGUAAAAACACACCUAGAGGGGGGUGAAUAAGUGUAAAUAAUAAAAUAACCAACUGGAUGCAAUAUAAACCAUAUGUGGAAAAAAUAAAGCCAACAAACCGAGGUUUUUACAUAGAAAACUCCAAGUGGAGUAAAAAACUACAUGACUGAUCACACAAAAAAUCCACUAAGGAAAAAUAGAGUAUAAGGUGAUUUACCGAAACCUUGACUCAACCUUUACCAUAGACUUGAAGUAGAUUUUCUUUGCUGGUCCCUAAUCGAUUGAACUCCUUCAAUCAAUGACGUUACUACUCCUCGCAGCAUCAAAGCCUCGAAUCCACGAGCGUUCACUGAAUCCUCGACCUCACACAAGUCCAUGCACAACUUCUCAUUUCGGAGCAAGUAGAACAAUAGUUAGUGGUGAUUUUCAUGCUUAGAAAUUCAUAAGAUAUGAGGGAAAACCUUAUAAGAAUAAUCAAUUUGAUUCUUAAUAGAAUAUCUGGAUUAAAGCUCCAAAAAUCAAAUUGAUGAGACAAAAAAAGAAACUUGUUCUCGAAAGAUGAAAAAAAAAAGCACCAAAACAAGUUUCUAUGGUUUCCGAGAGGUAUUCUAUCUUAGCUACGUUCCGGAGACACUCCCUAUUUAGAUGCUUAGAAUCAUAUUAGAAUUGAAAAUACGUUUUCGAAAAAUUCAUGAUGGGUUCAGAGUCCGGACCCUUCAUCAAUGUCUGGACUUUAAUACUUUCAAAGCAUCAAAGUCCAAAUCUUCCCCUCAAAGUCCAACCCUGCGUUAUAGCCAAGAAGGCUUACGAGGUCUAGACCCCGCCUUAAAGUCCGGACCCUGAAACUUGAAAAACUUCAGUUUUGUUCCGUAAUAAGUUUCAGACCUAUUCUAAUAUUUUUCAAACACUUAGAAAUAAUGCGUAAAUCAUCAUUAAUAUGUAAUCAUACCUCGGAGGCGUGAGCUCCAUAAACGAGUUUUUGAUCUUGAUGUCUUCUUCUUCAACCCUUCAAGACUCUAUAUGACUCCACGAAAUACGCCAACAUAAAAUCCGCAAUACCAACACUGCUGGUUGGUUUUCAAAGUGCACGAUUUUCGGUAACGAGUCCAAACCCUAACUUUUUAUAUAAAUUAAUGCUAUUAGAUUAAUGCAACUUUAGAGGUUUUUGUGCAAAUUGGUCAUGUGGGUUACUUCGAGUAGCGUGAACCCACAAUAUUUGACUUCUGGACUGAUCGUCCUAAGUCCGAUGAUCUGUAUGAAGCAUAUUUAGGGUUUUGGAGCAUUUAUCGGCAAAAACAAGAUCAUGGUUUCAGUUCAGGUUUUGCAUUUAAUCAACGUGAAUCCCUGGUAUUUUUCGCUGUGCCUUGUUGGUUGGUUGCCCUUGCUGUCUCAUGUGUCAGGAGACAACGAGUGGGCGGCGGAAGGUUCCGGAACCGAAAUUGGCAUUUUCAAAAACCCGAUACGGCUUAGUUUUCAUUAAACGCACUUGUUAGCGUAGUGUUCAUGUGUUUGCUGCCUAGACACCCAAAUCAGUACGUUUUAGGGCACUGGGUGAUGUACCAUAUGGAUUGGUACUUUAUAGGGCACUUUGUAGGUUUUGGAAGUGUUACAAUGAGUUUCCAAGAAAUUCCAGCGGGUUUUGGGAAUCGGUAAAAAGAACUGGUUGCUUGAUGGCUUCGAGAAUGUGAGAUUAGUGACUUUGGAUCACUUAUUAGGGUUUGUCCUAUUUAGUGGAUUAGUUUGUGACACCAUGGAUCUUUUGAAGGUACAGUCGAUGGUAAGGAGCACCUUAGGAGUUAGGUGCCUCGUAUGAUUCAGAUGGAUGCUCGAUCCAAAGUCGGUAUAGUGGUGCUAGUUUAGUGACAUUCUUUUUCUUUCUCUUUAUACUUGAUUACACACAUUGCAUGUUGAGCACGUGAUUACCACUUGACUUCACUUCUCCUUGCUCUAUUUUUAUAUAUUUAUCAUGACUUAGCAAUAGAGCAGUAUUUCAUUGGAUGUCAUUACAUGACUUGAUACAUAUAUAAUUGACCUGCUUAGUCGGUAUGAUGUGAGAUCUAUGAGAUUGGAUGACCUAAUUAGUCGUUGUAUUCCUUUUGGAUCCUGUCUCGGUUAGUUGCCUAUGGUUGGUUAUUGAUCAUAUUGCAUCCAUUAACAUAGCUCAUGUGCAUUUCACUUUGGCCGCCGCAAUAGUAUUCUCUUUCGAAAAAAUGGUCGUACUUUCAACCCAUAAACCCUAUAUAUACGACCUACUACUAGGACCAUAUGCCAAAUAUGGCAGGACGUGGCAUUGCCUAAGGGUAUCAGACCAACAUGGCAAGUGAUUGGGUAUUCUAGGACUUUUCAUUCGAUUGAUGCAUACUCUUUUUGUUUACAGUAGCGGUAGUUGUACACUCGUUAUUCAUUUCCUUUCAGUUCAUAUUUGCUACUGUAUUCAUCAUAGUUUCAUACCAUGCUAUACUAUUUUUCGUUUGCCCAUGAGUACAGCUUGCUAUUGUCGGCUUAUGGUACCUAUUGAAAAACCUCAAGUUGGUUUAUCAACCCAUGUUUUUAUAGGUGACACAGGCAAUGAUAGUCGGAACGGUGCAUGAGGUUCAUGUAGCUAGUGAGCCUAGUGGUCCUGUGGAUUGAUCAUUUUCUUGCUACGGUUUAUGAUUCUUUGUUAUCCCAGUUAUUCAUUAAUAAUUCAGAUACUGUGGUGAUUCAGUUUAUAUUUGAAUGGUUAUUUUGAAGUAAUAAACUGUGGAUUUAUGCUUAGGUGCAUGACAGGGCAUGCAUCAUUUUCACUAAGGACUGCUUAGUUGUAUGUGCAUUUAGCCUGUUUUGAAUGUUGGGUGGUAAGUGGAUUUGUUUGGUUGUGGAACGUAACAGGUAGAUAUGCCGUGCAAAUAUAGAGCAGACUCUAUCCGUUGGGAUAUAGAAAUUUCUGUAUUUGUGAAGGGUCUGUCCACCCCGUGGUAUAUAAGGUUGUGUUUUUUUUAAAGAAAGAUGGACAUUUUUUCAUUGGCGUUACUUUCCAAGUUUAACCUUUUUCUGAAAAAGCUUUACAGAAACGUCCCCGGAGCGCGACAUUGUCACAGGGCAAGGAGUUGGACCUAUUUUAGCCAAUAAUAAAUAGGCAACAAGCCCCCGCAAUACUCUAUUAAUGCUACUUGCAAGAAUCAAAUCUGUGCCACUGGCUCUGAUAUCGCUUGUGAAUCAUAAGCACUAACCACAAUUUCGAAAGCACGUGUGACAGGAAGGACACAUCCAUCGCACUUAAGAGCUCAACUAUAGCGCUUACGAAUUUCGACCUGACUUAAUCCAUCUGAAUGCUAGAUCUAUUAUUAGGUCUUUUGCCGCUAGAUCUAUUAUGGACCACAACCUCACACAAUUUAUUGGGCCCAUCCAACUCAAAUUUCUAAUCUUCUAGGCCUGUUGUUACGGUGCAGAAAGUUGAAUCUAUUUUAGACAAUAAUAAGUACGUAACCAACAACAGAACAGAGACUGGUGGGUCCCUACUAGAAUUAUUUAGCAUGUGGUACAGGCACUUAUUGACAUGCCUAGCUAAUUUAAUAGCUGGUCCCCAUCUAAAUGGUUUGGGGCCAAAUCAUGUGCCUUUCAAACAACAGGAGAAGUAAAAAAUGGGUUAUUAUUGAAUUGAUUAAUUAAAACCUAAUCCAUCAGUUUAAUUAUUUUCUUAAUUCUAGAAUAUUAUGUCGAAAUGAGUCAUAAGUUGUUACCACAAACUUCUUAUUUAAUAGAUCUCCUUCUACAAAACUAGAACCAGUAUAUGAAAUAUUCCUUUCAAACCAAGAUUUAUUGAUCUAUAUAUAUUUUUAGGUAGAAGAAAUGUACGGAAAUUAGCCACCCUCAACUAUUAGCAAUUCUGUAAAAGAGCCCUCAACUAUUUUUUUGAUAUAGAAAUUCCUCAACUUCUAUUUUUUAUUUGAAUUUUUAUACUUAGUUAAUAAAAGAUUUUGUCAAAUCUAAUGAUUUUUUUAGUUAUUAACCAUUAGCUGGUCUAGUUUUAUUUAUUAAAAAGUGAAUUUAAUGACUCAAAUAUGCAUAUUAAUUAUGCUUACUUUUAAUAAACUUGAAAAAAUUCUAAUAUUUUGACUAAAUUAUUUAAUUUUAAAAAAUAAAGGCUAAGAACAUUUCAAUAAAAGAAAAUAAAAUUGAGGGGGCAAUUCCAAGAUGGCUUAUAAUUGAGGGCUCUACGCUAAUUUUUAUGAUAAUUUCGAGACCUAAAAUGUAUUCUUCAAGCCUGAAAUUACAAGUGAUUAAAAUUAAUGACUAAAGUGCCGCACGUCUCACAGUUCGAGUCAGAAAUUAUAAUUAAUUAAAAUUAAGGACUAAAGUAUCGCGCACCUCAUAGUUUGAGGAUCAGAAAUGUUAAUUAGCUGAACUUUUUUUUUUAUAGGGGCAAUUGCUUAUUUAUUCCUAAAAAAUUUCAAACUUUUCUAUUUACUCCUCUUAAUUAAUAUAAAAAAUAUUCUUUUAACGUUUUAAGCUAUUUUAAAUAUGCCUUACAGUUAGAUUCUACAAGUAAACUAAUAGAAACAGUCAUUAUUUUUAUAAAAUUACUAUUUUGACCAUUCAAAUAUAUCCUUAUAUCGUCACCAACUUUUCUUAUGUGCCCUUAGGUACUGUAAUUUUUUGUCAACUCUGAUAGAAAUUUAAUCCGAAUUUAAUGUAAUAAUAUAAUUUAAUAGGUACUAAUAGUAAAAUUAUUUUUAAAUAACGGAGAUAUAUGUGGUAUAUAUAUUUAAAAUAAACAUAUAUAUAGAAAUACAUAAAAUAUUUUAAAAAUUUUUAGACGUAUAAAGAUUGUACCUUUUUUAAAGUAAUUUUUUGAAUGUCGGAAUUAAAUACUCCUUUCAAACAGGAGAUUAAUCAUAUCUACAUUUUUAUUUGACAAAAAAACAAAAAACACAACCGUAGAAAAUUCAUUGGUGGAAGAGUCAUCCCAACAUGCGACGACACAUGUUGCGACUUUUUUUUUUUUUUUUCCACAUGAUGUGAUGACUCAACUUUUUGUCCCUUUUUUUAAAAAAAAGUAAUCCAACCUUAUCUCGAAUUAUUUUAGAUCCAAAGCCGCUGAAGCCGGCCGGCCUUUUCAUAGUAUUAAAAAGAAAAAACCAAGAGCUGUCAGACUAAAAUAUAGAAUAGUUUGCUUUCGGCCGUAUUCAGAUAAUUUGGAUUUGAUAAAAAUUCGGUACAGAUAUAAUAAAUAUAAAAUUUAUUUUUAAUUUUUAAAUUUGUUGAAAAAUUUGGCUUAAAAAACGGAUUCGAUAAUUAUUCGGAUAUGUGAUUUGUAUGAAAAUUGUACGUUCAUCAAUUAAAAAUUCGGAAUAAAAAAUUCGCCUAUUAAAUUUGAAUUUUUUUUCUAGAUUUAUACUACUAUCGUAAACAGUUAUAAUUCUUAAAAAUAAAAAGCUAUAAAAUAAAGUAGAUUAAUCCAUUAAUAAUUGUAAAAUAUAUAUAUAAAUAUUUUUUUUGGGAGGCGAAUGAAGAGAGAACUCAUAUUUAAAUAUAAAAUAUAAGAUAAUCUAUAUUUAAACAUAAAAAUUAUAAGUUUUUUAUUCAGAUUUUUAAUAAUUCGCGAAUUAUUCGGCUGGCCCAAAAAUUCGCGAAUAAUUUUCUUUCUUUGGAAAAAAUUCGUAGACAAACCGUUUAAUUCGGAUCUUCAAUAAUUCGCGAAUAAUUCACAAAUUAAAUAACAAAGCUUUUAGCUACCAUAUUAUCAUGUCAGGUGUUAAUCUGUCUCUCGAUUGGAGCUAAAAUGUAGCACGUACUGGUAUAUUUGCGACGCCCCACUUCUAAGGGGUUAUCUAUUUUAGGAUCCUAACAAAUUUAACUCUUUUAAUCUCUUGGUCCUAACCACCACCCAAAAUACUAUAAUCGGGUUAAAAGUUUUUAGCCCUAUUAUAUUCUAUAUAUAAGAUUAUUUGGGGUCUUACACUCUCCCACCUUUUAAGCCUUAACGUUCCUGUCAGGUUCAAACUCACAAGUAUUAGACGAUAUAAAACUCGUCUCGUUAGUCUUAACCGACCUUGUGGGGAAGCCGCACUCUGCCUACAGCAAUCGUCAGCAUAAGAGUCUCGCUCUCUCUGCUGUUUAAUCUGGCUCAAUUGAGAUUCAUUUUACACUUUCGGAUAGUAAUUUUCUUUGAUACCAACUGUGACGUCCCACUUCCCAGAGGAUUACUUAUCAUAGCACUACUCUAGUCCUAGCACGUUUAAUUUUCUUACUCUCUUGGAUCUAUCUGCCUCCCAAAAUGCUCUAGUCGGGUUAAGAGUUUUUAACCCUAUUAUAUCUUAUAUAUAGGACUAUCUGGUGUCUCAUAAUUUUUAUGUCGUACAUCUUUGCUUCCCGGUUAGAGCUUUCACCCACCACGCCGUAGGGCGUUGGAAGCUCAGAUAUAGCAAUCGACGAAAUAGAUAUGUAGUAUCAAUUUUGUCCAACUUCUAAUUAACCCAGCUUCUCCCGUGAUAAAAGUUCUACUAAAAAUGGCCAUGUUUGUUAACACGGUGAGUAAAAAUACUAGUUUUAUAUUAUGAAAGUCCUAAAGAAUUUUAAAAAAAAAUUGUUAUUUAUAGGAUUGUACAUCUAACACACUUAGAUUCAAAGGUUCACCAAACUUUUUUGAGAUUUUACUAAAAGUAAAUAAAUAUAUUAUAAGACAAGUGAUUAGAUCCACCACAAAAAGGAUGGAUGUAAACUUUACACCUAUGUUAUAGUUGUACCGAUAGUAUUAUUCAAAAUUUUAGAAUAGUGCUUUUAGUCAUUGUAAUACAAAACGUACUACAAUAGAAUUAGAUUAUAGGGACACAUUUUUAAGACACAUUUAUGUAAGUGUCCCAUCUAUUCCAGAACUUUUUCAAAAAUCUAUUAAGGCCUAAAUAUAAAGCUCAAUUCAAUAAAAAAUAAAAAAAUUUUCUACUCAAUCAACCCCACCCAGCCCACUUGGCUAGAUUAAAAAAAAAAAAAAAAAAAAAAUUGAUCACCAUCUCCUCUUUUCCUCUUCUGCCGCCUCAGCCGACGAGGUAGGGUUCCGGCGGCUAGAGUUCGGUCGCGAGGAUCUUGCAAGGUACGUAGAGGGCUACGGUCAUCACGUGUCCCUCCGCCAUAGGUCGCUAGAGGACUGGACGCCAAACAUUAAUGCAGCCCCACAUAUAGCGACCCCACUGUUACACCUGUCAAGUAGUAAAGGAGGAUUAGGAGCAGUAGUAGGAGGUUUAGCUAGAAUAAUGAGAGGAGAGGAGGCUUAGCUUUUCUCUGCUUCAGGUCUCCGGUUGGGGGAAGCGUCGGCCGUUAGCUUGGGAGUGUGGAGAGCGUCGGUGGGGUGAAGGUCGCCGGUGGAGGAGAAAAGGGGUGAGAGAAGCGGGGAGCGAAGAGGUUGAUCCGAGCAAGCCGACAAAGGACUUAGAGCGUUUGACGAGUCGACUCAAGUUCCAGACGGUUCUGGCGGAUUCGGGCGUAUGGCGGAUUCGGGCACAAGGAUGGGAGCGACUGAUCCAAUAUGUCUUGGGAGCGGGCCGAGGAAUAAGCCCAUGUGGGAAUUUGGGCAGCAGAUAGUAGGUUUAGGGAGUUCAAUUAGAAUUAGGGUUUGCUUUAGGUGAAUAAAAAGGGCAGCGUGUAACAGAAGGUUUUUUUGAUGCGAAUUAAUGAAAUUUUCUUCUUCCUCAUCAACUCCUAAUUUCUCUUAAUCUUUCUUCUUCUUCUUAAUUUCCCCAUCCAUCUCCUUCCCUCUGUCUUCCCCCCUCUAUUCUCUCUUCAUCUUCUUUAUCGGAAUAGCUCAAUUCUGAUCUGAUUAAUCCGAGUCAGGCAGUUACGGGAACCAUCAUCCUCGACGCCGUCCUUCGUCUCAGCGAGAUUUCAUCAUCGACGGGUUGCGCCGAGUCAGGUAUGUAACAAUUGGUAUCAGAGCGGUACGAUCUCAGGGCGUUGUGUGGUGAAUUCGCUUCCUAACUCCAAUCAAGUAUUGUCGAGUUUAAUAGCGAGGGGAUUUCUGCGCUGCCAAAUCUGAUACGAGAUCGGGUUUGGACAAAAGAAACCACCACAGUAACAUCCCUGAACUGUAUCACGCUCUGACCGCUUUUAAUCAUCCUCGGAUAUUAGCAAGAUUGGGGGCAAACGAGGCAACAAGUUUCGAUUUAACCCAAAAGAAUAUCUGGAUGAGAUAGAGAUGGCUGAGGGGACUAGGUUGAGAGACCUGAGUGAUCAUAUACGUACGCUAGAAGAGCAGUUCCAAAAAUUGGGAGCUGAGCAUCAAGCCGAGAUUGAGGUAAUCAACCAUCAGAUUGCCGAAGUCAAGGAGUCCGGGCAGAGGCAAUAUGAAGCGAUACAGGUCGAGGCAAAUAAAAGGCACGAGGAGCUGCUCAAGCUGUUCGCAGCUCAGCCACCUCCACUCAAGAACCAGGCACCGGUAAGCCCACUGGAAGGGAAGCCUCCACAUGCGGCAACCCUGGGAUCAGUAGAACACCAUUAAUUACCAGAGCAGAUAAAGGCAAAGGGAUUCUACCAACGCCACCAAGACAAACAGAGGAGGAAGAGAGUCAGAGCUCACCAUGGGUCAACAAGCAUAAUCAUUAUCAGUUACCUUACUCGAAGCUGGAUUUCCCCUUUUUUAACGGAGACGACCCUCGAAGUUGGAUCGAGAAUUGCGAGCAAUAUUUUGAAUUAUAUCAAAUACCCCAGCAUCAGUGGUUAAGUGUGGCAACCCUACACUUGAUCGGCAAGGCAAGGACAUGGAAACAAGGGUAUUUUAUCAACAAACAACUCGUUUCUUGGGACGAGUUCACUAAGGCCAUAUGUAGAAAAUUUUCGCAAGCGGGCGAGAGGUAUUUAAUUCGAGAAUUUAGUAACUUGAAGCAUACGGGGACUUGUGAAAAGUACCAAGAAAGGUUCGAGGAGUUGAGGUUCCAACUGCUCCAUUACAAUCCUCAUUUAUCGGAAGAAUAUUUUAUUGCUUGCUAUAUUAAUGGACUGAAGAAGAGUUAGUUCCGUUUCUCGACAUUGCUCACCCGAACACACUAGAGGAAGCAUAUGAGCAACCGCAGUUACAUGAGAAGGCCAUUGCUGUGAUCAAUCGGAAGAAUAGAUAUAUUCCCAAGACCUAUCAAUCCAACUCGCUGUAUAAGAGUUCGGAGGGGAGCAAGUAGCCAACCCAAAGUCAGAACAAGACUCCGGUAAAUCCCUAUCCGAUCAACAAAUAAUUAAUUGAACAACGUCGAGCCGCUGGGUUAUGCUUUCGGUGCGGCGACAAAUACCAUCCGGGACACGUGUGUUCCAACAAAUCGUUAAACAUCCUACAAGCUACUAACAAUAUUAUGGAGGUUUAUGAUGAAGAAUGUUUACAAACAGGACAAAGCGAAGGGGCAGCCAAUGGAAGAGAAGGCAAGGAAACUGAAAUCAUACCUGGGGAAGAGGAGCAGCAGGAAAUAGAGGUAUCAGUGCGUGCCUUAAGUGGAGAAAUACCCCAAGAGACCAUUAAGAUAAGGGGUGAAACCAACAAUCGGACUCUUACCAUCUUGAUAGACACAGGAAGCACUCACAGUUUCAUCGACCUGCUAGCAGCCCAGUGUAACGCACUGGACCUUGCAAAUUGUAGGGUUCGAGUGAUUGAGUGUAUUCUGAACUUUUCCAGACUUUCUGGUAGGUCGUUGACUGUGUUCCGACCUAUGGUUCGAGUCCCGAGAAUUGUGGUUUAAAACCUUGCAUCAAAAUCUAAAAAGUUGGAUUUUUGGUCAGCUCUCGGAUAGCCUUCAGCAGGCCGUGUACCGGUACGGGUUCGCUUGCUGUACCGGUACGGGUUCGCUUGCUGUACCGGUACGAGGUUGAUGGCUGUACCGGUACGGGCCCGCGUACCGGUAAACAGGCAGUUUUUCGGCCAAACCCGAGGCUCGGGUUUGCGUUUUCGUGGGUUGUGUACCGGUACACAAACCGGUGUACCGGUACGUAGUGCAGUUUGGGGCUGUUUCGUGGAGGGGUGUUUUUGCAAUUGUUACAACACCUUUAUAUACCACCCCAGCCCCCUUGGCUGCUCUCCUUGAGCUCCAAACAGAGAGAAACAAGGUGAGUCUUCCCCUCUUGGUUUGAUCUCCAUUUUUUGGUGAUUUUUAUGGGUUUUGAUCUUUUUCCCUUCUCUCCUUCUUGCUUUUGUGGGUUUUUUCACCAUUGGAGAAGCUUGGGAUCUUGGUUGGAGCUUGUUUGGAGAUCAACCUUCAACCCUAGAGGACUUGGAGCUUGGUUUUGAGCAUCUUGUGAGGUUAGUAAACUUAAUCUCCCAUUUGGAUUAAGUUUUGAAGGUUUCUUUUGAAUGAAACCCUAGAUUUUGGAUUCUAGGGCUAGAAUUGGGGAUUUUUGAUUUGUAGCUUCUAGAACCAAAUUGAUUGGUUUAGAACUUUGAUUUAGGUUGGAUUUGAAGGAAUCUAACUCCCUUUUGGAGUUCGUGGGGGAUUCCUUAGCGUUCGGUGAGUUUUCUCCAACCUAGCUAGAGAAGCUUAAUGUUUGAGCUUAGCUUUGUUCGUAAGCCUUGUUUGACACUUGUUCCUACAUCCCUAGGGUACUAGGAGACUAGAAGACACCCUCGUUGGAGCAAACGAGGAGUUCCGUUGUCAACUGUGGGUUUGGCUUCUUUGACAUAGGGGGAAAAUGCCCCCUACGUGGUUAAACGUUUUCGUAUACCAUAAAUGCAUGCAUAUUUAUGUUGAGUAGAAUUAUUAUGAAUUUUUGGAUGCUUAAAACGCCACCAUUAUGUGUAAUGAAAAUUUCACUCUAUGUAGUAGAGCCAUGUGAAUGACAUACAUGCAUGAGCUAUGUAAUCUGUAAUUGCAACUUGGAAAUAUGUCUCUUAUGUGGGGAAAUGACUAGAAUCAUGCAAUCUUAAGCAUAAUUGCCAUGUUAUGACUUAGUGAGCAAAAGUGUCAUAAAGGGGAACUUGAACUAGAAAACGGUUGAAACUGCAACUUAGAGACAUAAUGUUAAGCCAUUGUACAUCUGCUAUAUACUCCAUGUAGAGACAUGAUGACAUAGAGAUAGACCUUUGGGACAUUCGAUACAUUCCAUGUUAUUAGACAUGAGAACUGGGUACUUGUGACAGGACAUAUGACUACUUGCUAUUGUGCUCAUUCGCACAUGCUUGUGAGGGUCGCUCCCUACAAGUCGGCACUCCGGAGAUGACCAUCGCGAUUUAUAUUCGCCGUGCGGGAUUCGGCGCCAAAGUGGAUUGCCGUGAGCCAGGCUCAUUCCUAGGGUGGGGAUGAUGACUACCACGGGGCCACUAGGCUCGGCAUCGGCCAGACAGCCUACGGGUGGGUCUCAGGGCCAUAGACAGUCUUCGGGUGGGUCUCUUCGGAUUUGACUUUGAGUAUCCACUAUGACAUGUGGACAGAUGAUGACUUAGUAUAUUGACUGGACAUCGACUAGAAUAGUAAACAACGACAUCUUUACUAAUUGCAUUGAGGACAUCGCAUUGGUUGCAUACCUAUGGGUAUUCAUGUAUACACAUCCAUGUACAUUUAUGUUAUAGUUGCUUACUAUUAUGCCUAUCAUGCUAAGUAGAGACAUCUGGUUAUAGUAAGUUAUACUUUUACUUACCUUUCGCUUUAUUGCUUUUAUAGCUACUUACCACUUUCUUUGUAGCUUUGGGCCUUGUGGUGCAUUCACUGAAGUCAGUAAUUGCCCACUGGGAACUAUUUUUAAUAGUUCUCACGCCUUCUUUUUUGUGGUUUCUUUCAGAGCCUUCUGCACCGGCGGAGGCACGGGAUCGCGGCAAGGGGAUCGCAUAACUAGCUAGCGAGGAGCGGUUCUUUGCCUAGAUGGUUUGCUUUUUCUUUUUGUAGUUGAGAGAGUGAGAGAUUUUGUAUCCAUGUAUAGAGACCACCUAUGUAUCUACUUUUAGCACUUGUAUUUGGAAUUUUCUUUGUAUUACUUUAUGCUUUUAUUAGUGGAUUCCAGCUUUAUGCUCUUUUCUCUAUUGUAGAACUUAGUAUUAUAUCAUGCUCUGAUACUCCUAGUUGUCUUUUAUUACCGCUUUAUUUAUUGUUGUUUUUAGACGCCUUAUAUGUUUUAGACGUAUGGCGGGUCUGGGCACGCGCUGGGCGGGCUUCCGCUGGGUCCCGGGGCGUGACACCCAGGAGGUAGGAGCACGGAUGGAAGUAGCUCUACCCCUGAUAGUGACAGUAGCAAACGGGCACAAGGUUUUGAGCAAAUUAAGAUGCCCUGGAUUCACUUGGACUAUGCAGGGACAAACUUUUCGAACGGACUUGAGAGUGAUCAGGAUCGAAGGCUCUAACAUGGUACUUGGAAUUGAUUGGUUAAAGUCUUAUGGAGUGGUGACUUUCGAUUUCGUAUCCAACUCGGUGGCGAUCAGUAAAGAUGGACAGAAGUUAGAGCUAAAGGGGAUUGCGGAAGGGGCUAGAUUAAGUCUAAUAUCUGCAGCUCAGUGGAGGCAAGAAGCAGAGAAAGGAGAAUGUUAUCUCCGCAGGCACCAAUCAACACCAAAAGAUAAUGAACAGGAUGCUGACCUACUUCCGGAGAUCCAAAGGGUGCUGGAUAAAUUUCAGGAUGUGUUCGAGGAGCCAAGGGAGUUACCUCCAAUCCGCAUUCAAGACCAUAAAAUUCCUCUACAGUCUAACACAGCUCCGAUUAACGUUAGGCCCUAUCGGUACUCGCAUGAUCAAAAAGAGGAGAUCGAAAAACAAAUAAAGGAGUUAUUGAGCCACAAGAUUAUUCAGCGGAGCAAUAGUCCUUUCGCCUCACCCGCUUUAUUGGUUAAGAAAAAAGAUGGGAGUUGGAGAAUGUGUAUAGAUUAUCGCCAGCUUAACAAAUGCACGGUGAAGGACAAAUUCCUUAUACCAAUUAUAGAUGACUUGCUUGAUGAAUUGGGCGGAUCGAAGUAUUUUUCCAAGAUAGAUCUCAGAUCGGCAUAUCAUCAGAUCCGGAUGAAUCCGGGGGACAUUCAUAAAACGGCAUUCCGGACGCAUCAAGGGCAUUAUGAGUUUCGAGUCAUGCCGUCCGGCCUAACGAACGCACCCGCGACGUUUCAAGCCGUAAUGAACUAUACCUUCGAGUCAUACUUGAGGAAAUUCAUCCUGGUUUUCUUUGAUGACAUUCUAAUCUACAGUAAGAACAUUGAGGAUCAUGAACAACAUCUGCGCAUCGCUUUGGAAGAAUUGAGAAAGAAUAAAUUUUACGCCAAACGAAGUAAGUGCUAUUUUGGGCAGAACCAGGUGGAGUAUUUAAGUCACAUAAUAUCUGACGAAGGGGUAGCCACCGAUCCAUCCAAAAUUGAAGCGAUGAUUAAUUGGCCGGUACCAAAAUCUAUGAAGGAAUUGCGUGGAUUCUUUGGACUUACCGGAUAUUAUCGAAAAUGCAUAAAGGGAUAUGGAAAGAUUACCAAGCCUUUGACUGAGUUGUUGAGAAAGGAUCAGUUCGACUAGAAGGAAGAAGCACAAGUAGCUUUUGAAGAAUUAAAGUUGGCUAUGACAAUGGCUCCAGUACUCGCUAUGCCUAACUUUGGUGAACCCUUCACGAUAGAAGCGGAUGCUUGCGGCAUAGGGAUAGGGGCAGUACUGUCCCAAGGAGGAAGACCCAUUGCCUAUUUGAGCAAGGCUAUUAGCGGGAAGCACCUGGGAUUAUCAACUUACGAAAAAGAGUUCUUAGCGAUACUCAUGGCGGUUCAAAAGUGGAAGCAUUAUUUAGGUACAGGUACAUUUGUGAUUAAAACAGAUCAUGAAAGCCUAAAACACCUACUCGAGCAAAGGAUAUCCACCCCGAUGCAGCAGAAGGGCAUGCUUAAGAUGAUGGGGCUUAAUUACACGAUUCAGUAUAGGAGGGGUAGAGAAAAUGCGGCAGCCGAUGCACUAUCCAGAAGAGAAGAAGGGGGAGUUGUAUUGGCAAUCUCAGCGGCAGUACCAACUUGGGUACGACAGGUGGCGGAAAGUUACAAGGGGGAUCCAUAUUGUGAGGGGAUAAUAAAAGAGCUAACGUUGCGGCCAGACACCCCAGGAUAUUACUCCUAUGGCAAUGAGUUGCUACGCUACAAAGGGAGGCUCUAUGUUGGGCAGACUGGACCUAUACGGAAGAAAGUUUUAGAUCAAAUGCAUAAUUCUGCCUUGGGAGGCCACUCCAGAAUCCAGAACACCUAUAGGAGAGUUAAGCAACAUUUUUUUUGGCAAGGAUUAAAAAAGGAUGUGGAAGAUUGGGUCAAGGGGUGCACUGUUUGUGCUCAGAACAAAGUGGAUGGAACACCAUACAGUGGAUUGUUGCAGCCGUUGCCUAUUCCUCACCAAAUUUGGGAGGACGUAAGUUUGGAUUUCAUUGAAUCAUUACCUAAGUCAGAGGGGCGCGAUACAAUAAUGGUUGUAGUUGACCGGCUCACCAAAUAUGCUCAUUUCAUAUCUCUUAAACAUCCCUUUUCAGCAUCGGAUGUUGCUAAGGCCUUUAUGGGAACCAUCUAUAAACUGCACGAUUGUCCCAAGAGUAUCGUUUCCGAUAGAGACAAGAUAUUCGUGAGUCAGUUUUGGAAGAAGCUUUUCCAAUCCAUAGGAACCAAACUGCACAUGAGUUCGGCGUAUCAUCCGGAAACUGACGGGCAAACGGAGAGGGUCAACAGGUGCUUGGAAACCUAUUUGAGGUGCUUAUGUUUUCAGCACCCAAAAAAGUGGCAUUCUUGGUUAGCGCUAGCCGAAUGGUAGUAUAAUACAAACUUACACUCGUCAUUGGGAAUAACCCCAUACGAGGCGUUAUAUGGGCAACCUCCGCCAAAUUACCUGGUGGCCGCUGUGGAUACAGCUACCUCGCAGGAGUUUAAAGGGUGGGCUACAGAGAGAAAGAAGCUGACUAGAGAAUUAAGGGAUCGAUUGCAAAUAGCACAGAGCAGGAUGAAGCAACAGGCAGACAAGCAUAGGGUGGAGAAGGAGUACUCGGUGGGAGAUUGGGUUUACCUUAAACUACAGCCCUAUCGGCAAACCACGGUGGUGAUAAGGAAAAAUAUUAAGCUUUCUUCAUGAUUUUUUGGUCCCUUUAAGAUACUGGAGCGUAUCGGGCCAGUCGCGUAUAGGCUAGAGUUACCAGAAGGGUCAAGGAUUGACCCGGUGUUCCAUGUUUCUCUGUUGAAGAAGAGUCCCCCAUCUUCAAUUCAGGCAUCUCUGACGGCACCAUCUAUCGGGGAAGAGGAUAAGUUGCGGGUCGAACCAGAGGAAAUACUUGAGAGGCGGACGGUGACGCGCGGAAACAUGGCCGCGACCGAAGUUUUGGUGAAAUGGGCAAAUCUUCCAAGGGAGCUCGCAACAUGGGAAGAUCGUGGGUUCCUCAAAAGCCAAUAUCCAUCUUUUGAUCCUUGAGGACAAGGAUCGACUUAAGUAGGGGGGAUUGUUACACUUGUCAAGUAGUAAAGGAGGAUUAGGAGCAGUAGUAGGAGGUUUAGCUAAAAUAAUGAGAAGAAAGGAGGCUUAGCUUUUCUCUGCUUCAGGUCUCCGGUUGGGGGAAGCGUCGGCCGUCAGCUUGGGAGCGUGGAGGGCGUCGGUAGGGUGAAGGUCGCCGGUGGAGGAGAAAAGGGGUGAGAGAAGCGGGGAGCGAAGAGGUCGAUCCGAGCAAGCCGACAAGGGACUUAGAGCGUUCGACGAGGCGACUCAAGUUCCAGACGGUUCUGGCGGAUUCGGGCGUAUGGCGGAUUCGGGCACAAGGAUGGGAGCGACUGAUCCAAUAUGUCUUGGGAGCGGGCCGGAGAAUAAGCCCAUGUGGGAAUUUGGGCAGCAGAUAGUAGGUUUAGGGAGUUCAAUUAGAAUUAGGGUUUGUUUUAGGUGAAUAAAAGGGGCAGCGUGUAACAGAAGGUUUUUUUUAUGCGAAUUAAUGAAAUUUUCUUCUUCCUCAUCAACUCCUAAUUUCUCUUAAUCUUUCUUCUUCUUCUUAAUUUCCCCAUUCAUCUCCUUCCCUCUGUCUUCCCCCCUCUAUUCUCUCUUCAUCUUCUUUAUUAGAAUAGCUCGAUUCUGAUCUGAUUAAUCCGAGUCAGGCAGUUACGGGAACCAUCAUCCUUGACGCCGUCCUUCGUCUCAGCGAGAUUUCAUCAUCGACGGGUUGCGCCGAGUCAGGUACGUAACACCCACAUAUAGCGACACUUUCAUAUAGUGUCGCUAAUUUAGCCAGCAACACUUUUUUUUAUCUGUACCUAUAUUUAAAAGUGUCGCUAUAUAAUAUUUUUGUUAUAGUGACGCGACCGCAAACAGUACUUUUACUAAAUUAAUUUUCAAACCAAAUUAAGCAUGCCCGCUAACUUGCCACUCCUUUUUUGCCCUAUUUAUACAUCCCUAUGUAGCGUGGACAUAUCACACACUCACACACACCCUCCCUCAAUAUUAGCUAAAGAGAUUUAUAACUAAAGGUGUCUGUGGACCGAGUCGGGUCGGGAUAGUUAAUAUACUAUAUCCGUACCCUAAAAAAAAUUGGUUAGAAAAAAAAAUAUAUAUAUAUACCCUAUCCAUUUAACUUCAGGUCGGAUCCGGAUCUGGAUAUUUAAGUUACUAAUAUACCCGUCGGGUCUAUUUGGGCGGAUCUAGGUAGUGACUACCCUCCGUAUACUAUCCCUUUAAGAUCGGGUACUGGUCGGAUCUAAAUCGGGUACGGGUACCCGUAUACAUAUAUUUUUUUAUAAACUUUAUUAAAUAGUAUGUGGACAAACUAUAAAUCUUUCCUUAUAAAGAGAAUAUAAGUUAUAAUAAUUAUUAAUAUUACAUACUAACAUUAAAAACAAUAAAAAAAUAAAGAAGAAUUUGAAAAUUUACUAAAUAGAAUAUUCAUUAGAAAAAACUAAGUUGUCGACUUUGAUUGGAAAAGGAAUUUGGAAAAAACUUACUUGUGCAAUGCCUAUGAGGAGUAAUAUCGCUAAUGAUGAUAACGAUGUAAAUAUUAGUUCAUAAAAAACUCAUAGGCGAAAAUGAAACAAAAAAAAUAAUAAGUAAGAAAUAAAGAGUAAAAAAAAAAAAGAAAAAAAAAGGAGUAAAAGAGCGGCUAAUGUUUCAUUGUUUCACUAAGAUGAAAAUUUUUAGAAACCCUUCAUAUAUAAAUUCUAUUAAAAUUGAUCCUUCAACUUUAAAAGUUCAAAUCUUUUUUAUUUACUAUCGGAUAUUUCAUCGGGUCCGGAUCCGAGUCCGGAUUUGAAAACUAUUCCGGACCCUACCCAUUUAAAAGUUGGGUUCGGGUCGGGUCCAAAUCGGGUAUGGGUAUAAAAUAUCCAGACCUAUGCCCGAAACUUUAAUGGGUAAUUUUCUUUACCCGUAUACUAUCCAUUUUUUAUCGGGUCUGGUUCGGAUCCGGAUAGGGUCCGGAUAGGGUCCGGAUAGGAUAUGGUAUAUCGAAUAUUUUGGACAGCUUUACUUAUAACAAAGAUGUCUCACCCUCGUGCCACCGGCUUUGAUACCACAUGUGGAUAUAACCACAAUUCCAAAAACACAUGUGAUAGAAAGAACACACCCAUCACACUUAAGGGCUCAAGUAUAGCGCUUACGAAUUUCAAUCUGACUCAAUUCAUCUGAACAUUAGAUCUAUUAUUGGGUCUUUUACCGUUAGGUUUAUUGUGGACCGCAACCUCACUUAACUUAUUUAGCUCACCCAAUUCAACUUACUAAUCUUCUAAGUAUGUUGUUAUGGUACAAAAAGCUGAAUAUAUUUUAAUCAACAAUAAAUAAUCAACAGUAGGGACCGUGCGUAGUGGGUCCCUGCUAGAAUUAUUUAGCAUGUGCUACAGGCACUUACUGACAUGCCUAGCUAAUUUAAUAGCUGGUCCCCGUGUUAAUGGUUUGGGCCAAAUCAUGUGCCUUCUAAACAAUUGGAGAAGUCAAAAAUGGGUUUUUAUUGAAUUGAUUAACCAAAACCUAAUCCAUCAAUUUUUUUUCUUAAUUAUAUAUAGAAUAUUAUGUCGAAAUGAGUCAUGAGUUGUUAGCACAAACUUCUAAUUUAAUGCAAGAUGACUUAAUGGGUAUUAAAAAUAAGGUUAUUUUUGAAUAACGGAGAUAUAUCCGAAGGUAUAUUGGAAAUAAAAAAUAGGAUUAAUUACAUACAAGUUCCUAUAAAUAUAGUAAAUUGUAAAUAUAUGUACAAAAUUCAAUUUUUAUAUAUUGUCCCUACAAAAGUCCUAAUUAAUAUUUUCAAAAAUAUUCUUACUGUUAAAAUUUGUUAGAAAAUUUUAUUUAACUAUAGGUUAAAUACUUAACCCUGCUUAGUUUAUGAGAUAAUUUGACAUUUUUACUCCUUUUAUAUUAUACUGUUGUGAUGGCAAAAUUGUAAAUAUAAAUAGUUCUCUAAUGGUGACAAAUCAGAAGGUAUAUUUAAAAAUAUUAGAACUUUUGUAGGAAUAAUAUAUAAAAGUUGAAUUUUUUUAAAAUAUAUUUAUAAUUUAAUAUAUUUGGAGGGACCUGCAUGUAUUCAAGCCUAAAAAAUAUAGAAGUAUAUAAAAUAUUUUAAAAAUUUUUAGACGUAUGUAGGUAGUUAUACUUUUUUUUUAACUAAAUUUUCAAAGGUCGGAAUUAAAUACUCCUUUCAAACAGGAGAGUAAUCAAAUCUACAUUUUUAUUUGAUAAAAAAAAAACACAAUUGUAGAAAAGUCAUUGGUGGAAGAGUCAUCCCAAAACAUGCGAGUUCACAUGGUGUGAAUUCUCGAUUUUUCCACGUGAUGUUAUGAGGCUUUCAAUUUCUUUUUCACUUUUUUUUUUUAAAAAAAAAUCCAAUCCUUAUCUCGAAUUAUUUACCAUCCAAAGCCGUUGAUCGAAGCCGGCCUUUUCAUAGUCUUAAAAGGAAAAAACGAAGAGCUUUCAAACUAAAAUAUAAAAUGUUGCUUUUAGCUACCAUAUUAUCAUAUUAGGUUUUAAUAUGUCUCUAGUUAAUUUGGAGUUAAAAUGGGACACGUACUGAUAUAUUUGUGACGUCCCACUUUUCAAGAGUUCAUCCAUUCUAGCUAGAACUAUUACUGUAGUCCUAACACGCUUAAUUCUUUUAUUCAUUUCUCGAAUCUGACCAUCACUCAAAAUACUAUAAUCGGAUUAACACUAGUUUUUAACCCUAUUAUAUAUUAUAUAUAAGAUUACCUGGGGCCGACCUUUUUAAGUCCUGACGUCUCCGUCAAGCUCAAACUCACAAAUAUUAGACGAUUUGAAACUCAUAUCGCUAGUCUUAACCGACCUUGUGGGGAAACCGCACUCUGCUCAUAACAGUCAUUAGCAUGAGAGACGUCUAGCUCUUCCUGCUGUUUAAUCUGGCUCAACCGAGAUUCAUCUCGCACUUUCGGCUGGUAAUUAUUUCUGAUACCAACUGUAACGCCCCCUUCCUAUGGGAUCACCCAUUAUAGAAUUGCUCAAGUAUUAGCACGCUUAACUUUCUUAAUCUUUUAGAUCUAUCUACCAUUCAAAAUGUCAUAGGUGGGUUAAAAAUUUUAGUCCUAUUAUAUUGUAUAUAUAAAAUUGUGGAAAAACUUCAAAAAAACCCCCUGUGGUUUCAUUGUUUCUCACUUUAGUACCCUGUCGUUUAAAGUGUAUCAAUUUGCCCUCAUGUGGUUUCGUUUUUAUCUUUUCGGUAGCUUUUUCGUUAAUAUUUCAUUAAAUUAUAUACAAAAAACUUUAUAUACCCAUCUAGAUUUAUCAAGUAUUCACUUUAGUACCCUUUAAUUUUAACUUUAUCACUGAUUUAAGAAAAAAAAUAAUAAAAUUGAUAAGAAAAAGAGAAAAAAGAAACCACAGGGGGGCAAAUUGAUACAUUUUAAACAAUAGAGGGGCAAAGUGAGAAACUACGAAACCACAGAGGGGUUUUUGAAGUUUUCCUUAAAAUUAUUUGGGUUCUCACAAUUUUUAUGUUGUACAUCUUUGCUUCCUGGCCAGAGCUUUCGCUCCCCCACACAGUAGGGCGAUGAAAGCUCAGAUAUAGCGAUCGACAAAAUAGAUAUGCAGUAUCAAUUUCGUCCAACUUCUAAUUAAUCCAGCUUCUCCCGUUGAUAAAAAGAUUCAUAGUUUUUCUUGGAUUAAUUCUACAAAACUAAGAUCUUCUAGUGAAGAUCAUGACCUAGCUUUCUAAAAGUUCUACUAAGUAUGGCCUUGUUUGUUAACAAGGUGAGUAAAAAUACUAAUUAAUUUUAUAUUAUAAAGAAUUUUUUAAAAAAUGUUAUCUAUAGGAUUAUACAUCUAAUACACUUAGAUUCAAAGGUUCAUCAUACUUCUUUAAGGUUUUAGUAAAAAUAAACAAAUUAUAAGACAAGUGAACAGAUCGGCCACAAAAAGAAGAUCAGGCAUAAAUUUUACACCUAUGUUAUAGUUGUACAAGUAGUAUUAUUUAAAAUAUCAUAAAACGAUGUUUUUACCCAUCGCAUUACAAACCACGACGGUAAACAGUAUUUGUACUAAAUUUUUUGUUUUUUUUGAGAGAUGUACUAAAUUAAUUUUCAAACCAAAUAUUAAGCAUGCCCACUAACUUGCCACUGAUCCUUUUUUGCCCUAUAUAUACGUCCCUAUGUCGUGUGGCCAUCUCACACACACACACACACACACACCUCCACCUCAAUAUUAGCUAAAGAGAAUUAUAACAAAGAUGUCUCACCCUCGUUAUCUUCUACUGCCCUUGAAUUUGAUCACCAUCACCUUAGCCUUGCUCUCUCAAAGAUCUCAAGCCCAGCUGAGCCCCUCCUUCUACGACUGCACCUGCUCCGACGUGUCGGCGAUCGUUCGCAGCACGGUGCAGCAGGCGCAGACCUCCGACCCCCGCAUCUACGCCAGCCUCACUCGCCUCUUCUUCCACGAUUGCUUCGUCCAAGUAACUUUCUUUUAGUUAUAUAUAUAUGUAUUUCACUUCUUUUCCUAUUCUAAUCUCAAAAUCGAGAACUUAUAAGUUGUACAUGAAGAAACAUCGAGUUAAUGUCCUAAUUUCGACAUUAAUAUGCACCACAUAUAAGUUAGUUAGGAUAUAUAGUACUCCCCGUACUAUGCGUUUACUUUUUUUCUUUUUUUUUUUGAGAGAAAUAUAACAUGCUACCGCUUUAUUCAGUAAGAAAAUGAAUUUAGUAAUAAAGUGAAGUAUCGUGGCUUUGUAAGAGAUCGAAAAAAAAAAAAAAAUCACUAAACACAAUAAUUAAUGAUCCCAUAUAUUCUUGAGUGCGUAUACUAAACACAAUAAUGUCUAUGCGUUACUUUUUAUUUAAAUAUUUUGGUCUCUGAACUUGUAUGCAUAUUGUGCUUUCAGUGGCAAUAAUCAAGAAGUUUUAUUUUUAUGAAUUAUUAUUUUAAUCCUUUUGUAUGCCUAACUUAGUUUAGUUUGCUCUAAUCAAGAUUAUGAUGCUAUCAAUUUUACAACUAAAAUCAAAUAUGUUCUUUUUAAUAUUCAAGAAAUGAAAGUAUAGCAUGUGUGUACAGAAACUAAAGUGUGCAAAUAAUUAAUGAAGGUUAGUACCAAUUUGCAAUAUUCUACCCUAAAAUUUUUUUAGGUUACUUAUAGAAAUACUGGAUUUCUUCAUCGACAAACUUGUUUGAUCAACUUUUAGGGUUGCGACGGGUCGAUUUUGCUGGUCGAUAGUUCGACGAUUCAGAGCGAACAGGAUGCGCGACCAAACAAGAACUCGGCUCGAGGUUUCAACGUCGUCGACGACAUCAAGACGGCCGUGGAAAAUGCUUGCCCAGGAGUCGUCUCCUGCGCCGACAUUCUCGCUCUCGCUGCUGAAGCUUCAGUUAACUUAGUAAGCCAUUUUUUCCAUCUCUCUCUCUCUCUCUUCGAGUCUCUAUAAUGGAUUCUCAAUAUUCGUACAGAUGUAUCGAUACGAAGUUUUAUUUAUCAAAUAUAUUCCUCCGGAGGUGCAUAGCCUACAAAUAUAUUUCUCUGUUAGUUAACCAGUAAAAAUUAUUUUUUCUACAAAAUAUUUUUAAUUAUAUUUUAACCUUAUUUAUCAUUUUUGAUAUUUUUAUUUUAACUUUCUUAAUUUGUUGGAUUUUGCACUGAUGUACUAGUCACCAUAUCUCUCUAUGGAUCUCUGAAAACAAGUGGUAAGAAGGUGACAGGAAGUACUUCUCCUUAAAAUGAGAUAUAAUUCAUUUUCAAAGCUGCAACCACUUUUUUAUGAACUUGGUCUUGUUACUUUAUUAUCUUUUGACUGGUGAACAAGUGAAAAAUUUAUUAUCGGAACUGUGAAGAGAAUUGAUAGUUCUAAUAAACAGGCUAAAUUAUAAAAUAAUAAAUUAAUUUUUAUCUUGUAUCUUAUUUCCAUCUCAAAGAGAUCCAAUUUUAAAAUAAUUGUUUAAUUCUGCUUUAAAAUGUUAUAGUUUUAGUAAAAUUUACCUCUAUCAACUUAUUUUGGUAAAAUUUUACAAUCAAAUAUAAAAAUUAUAUAUUCCAACGUUUGGGAUGUUUUGACACAACAAUAAAGUGUAGGGGAAAGUUAAUGCAAUUUUUAAUACAAGAAGGUAUAUUUAAGAAAUGAGCUAAAGUGAACAAAAAGAUUUCGUAAUCUAGGGUAAUAAAUUAAUAUGCCGACAUAUAUAGCUUGUAGACACUCAACUUCUUAAUGAGGAUUAGUUAGGAGAAGGUAUUUUAAUGAGGGUUAGUUAGGAUAAGGUGAUUUGACAAGUUCUUGGUGCAAUUAAUAGCACUAAGCACUUGGUGCUAUCAAGUUUUCCGCCGUUAGAUCUAUCAUUUUGACAAUUUCCACCAAUUAGAUCAUACUAUUCAAUAACCAUCCACUCAAUUCUAAGGCUUCGUUUGGUUCGCGGUUAAGUAAGAACUAGUUAUUCUAGUGAUAGGGUUAAGUUCAGGGUUAAACCUAGAAUAGAUCAAUUUUGUUUUUGGAUGAUAAUUAAGCUGUUCUUGGAAUUAAGAAAAAUAGAGUUUGGAUAGAUAAGGUGGAAUAAAAAGAAUAGUAGGUAGCUAUAAAUAAAAAAUAAUGAUAUUACCCCAAUUAUUAUAUUUGAAUUUAAAUUUUUUUUAUUUCAUAUUUAAUUUUCAAAUUUAAAUAGAUAACUUUUACAAUUAAAAAUUUAAAUUAAUAUCUAUAUUUUUAAAUCUCAAAUUUAAAAAUUUAAAGUUAUAAAUUUUAAUUUUAAAUUUUAAAUCAAAUCUAACAAAUAUAAAAUUACAAAUAUAAAAUAUCAAAUUUAAAAUUUAAAUAAUUAAAAUAAUAAUUUAAACUUUAAAAUUUCAAUAAUUAAAAUAACAAUUUAAAUUUUAAAAUUCAAAAUUAAAAUCUAUAUUUUUAAAUCUCAAAUUUAAAAAUUUAAAGUUAUAAUUUUUAAAUUUUAAAAUUUAAAUCAAAUCUCAAGUUACAAAUAUAAAAAGUUAAUUUUAAAAUUUAAAUAAUUAAAAAUAAAAAUUUGAAACUUAAAAUUUUAAAAAAUCAAUAUAAAUUUUAAAAUUUAAAAUUAUAUAAUUUUAAAAUUUAAAAUUUAAAAUUAUAUUUAAAAAUUAAAUAGGGGUGGGAACCCCUGUUCCAGGGGUGGGAUAGGGUAACUCCACCCCAAAUGGGUUAUCGCGAAUAAUCCAUUUGGGGUGACAUUAACUAAUCCCACCCCCUAAAAAUUGUGUUUGGGGUUAAAUAGGGGGAUAACCCCUUCAUCCCCCUCUUUAAUCCCGAACCAAACGAGGACUAAGGGACCACUAUCAUACUAACCGAACAUCCCUUCAUCUAAAUUAAGGGCUAAAACCUAAUAGCACAAAUGACUUGGUACUAUUAAUAGUAUAGUAGUCUAAUUCUAAAUAUAUGUACAUAUAUAUAGCCCUGUGACCAUUUCAACUCCUUAGAUCAUACUAUUCCAUCAGCCAAUCACUAAACUCUGAGGAACCGCUGUCAUCCUAGCUAACCGCAUUUCUUCAUCCACGAGGCGAAAACUUUCACCUCCCUACAUCGUAAUUGACUUCGACCUGCGAUAAGCAGAAGUUUUUUAUUUUUUAUCUUUUUUUUUGAGAGAUAGGUAGCACGCUAGCUGCUUCGUUUAUUUCAUUUAGAAAUAAAACUUGGCUGGAAUUGUGAAUCAACUAGGAUUCGAACUUGGGUCUCGGGUACCAACCUCCAAGCCCUUUGCCACUUGCUCUAGGGACGGUCGGUACGGGCCAAAAACCUUAAUACCAAUGACUUCGUGCUAUUAGCAGUAUUCUAGCCUAGUUCUACACACACAUACACCUUGUUGUGUGCUAUUAUGAAUAUUUUUGUGAAACAAAUAUAGAAAGUGGAGAGCAUAAGUUUUGAAGCCACUAAAUGAAUAACGGUUAAAAAAAAUAACUUUUACCAGAACUUUAAUUCGAUUAAAAGUCAUUUUCAACCUAUAAAAUAGUUACAAGCACAAACAACUUGGACCCUUCUAGUGGAGUUGAGCUUGAGCUAGGCUUAUUGAACAUCUGACCAACUUAGGCCCCCUAUGGUACUGAGGGUUGUUUAAUGCUAUUGGAUAAAAAAGAUUGCUAGGGCAAAAUCAUAUAAACAUAUGCUACCCCAUUUUAUACGGACAAUGAAAAUUAUAUAUUGUAUCUGGAUCAUUGCAUUUACAGCGUGAUAUCUUUUAUGCAAAUAAUGAAUGAUAUAUUUUUUCAUCACACUUUCUGUCUGUACAUAAUGCAUCGUCCAUUUAUUCCAAAUAGAAACUUAGAUGGUUAAUGAUCCAAGAUAAAACGAUUGUCUUUUUUAAAAUUUGUUAUUCUUUUUAAUCCUUGGGUUGGAGUGCAACUAAUUUGUAUCAUAAUAAUAAUUGUAAUAGGCCGGGGGACCGUCAUGGACUGUGUUAUUGGGGAGAAGGGAUAGCACCACUGCAAACUUCACUGCAGCCGGCAAUCUCCCCGGCCCCUUCGAUAACCUAACCACUCUCCAAAAGAAGUUCUCCGACGUCGGCCUCCAUGACAUCGAUCUCGUCACAUUAUCAGGUAUCUGCAUAAUCAUCAAAUAUCAACACUUUGUUCUAUUACUGUCGUUGUUCUCAUUCAAUUUCUCUACUCGAAAUGCAAAAGUUAAACGUUCUAAAACAUACACACAAAACUGGAAGAAAUUAUGGUUUGUUUAGCUCCCAGUAAAUUAAGCCCUAAAAAAUUUUAGAACUUCUACUUUCGCCAAGUGGCAUUGCUGGGUGUUGCCAUAUAGUAAUGAGUUGUUUGCUUGAUCAUGUAUUUAAUAGACUCAAAAUCAAGAUCAUGUCUUCUGAAUUUCUUUACAACUCAGUGCAUAAGAAAAUUUUAUGCACGAGACGAACCUGCCGCUCAUCGAGGGUAGAAUUUAUAAACCUAUUUUAAAGUGAGACAUGAACUCCUAGCUAGCUCAAUGUAGAAUGCGUAGUUGCAACUAUGACAGAACGAAAAAGUAAGUGGAUUUUUCUUUCUUUUUCUUUCUAUUCUUUGUAGGUAGUUAGUGAUGUUCUCUUAUGCAUUCACUUUCGUCGAUAACAGGAGCUCACACAUUCGGCCGAGGCCAAUGCCAGUUCUUCAGCAAUAGUCGGCUCUACAAUUUUAAUGGCACCGGGAAACCAGACCCGACCCUAAACUCAACCUACCGAACUAUACUGGAGCAAAACUGCCCCCAAGGUGGGAACGGAUCGGUCCUGAACAAUCUCGACCCGAUCACACCGAACAAGUUCGAUGGCAACUACUAUAUAAAUCUACAGAACCACAGAGGGCUUUUCACAUCCGACCAGGAACUCCUGUCGGAUCCCAACGCGACGACGACCGCCUCGAUUGUAAACAAUUUCGCCGGCAACCAGCGCGCAUUCUUCAAUAGCUUCGUGCAGUCGAUGAUCAAAAUGGGGAAUAUUAGUCCCUUGACAGGGAGCAGUGGGGAGAUCAGAACCAACUGCAGUGUGGUGAAUAGUGGAUCCGGUUUGGAAUUGCAUAUUCAGAUUCGACACGAUUCAGACACGGGUUCAGCUGCAGAAUAAGAAAUUAAAAGAUAGGGUAAAUUGCAUGUUUGGUGCUCAACUAUGAGGUGGGUGACUUUUUGGUCCUCGAUCUUUAAUUUGUUGCAAUUUCUGUCACAAACUUUCCGAAUUAUCACAAGCAAGUCCUGCAACCCAAUUUAAUUAAUUAAAUAUUCAUAUAUCGCUAAAGUAGAAGUGAUAUAGCAUUGAUGUGAUUGACAAUACAUCAAUAAUUAAGAUGACACAUCACUUUUACAUCAGCGAUACAUCAACAUUUAAUUAACUAAAUUAGAUCGUAGAAUUUGAUUAUAAUAAUUCUAAAGGUAGAAGCCAGAAAUUACAACAAAUUAUAAUUUGAGGACUAAAUGGUCACCGGCUUCAUAGUUUGAGGACAAACAUGCAAUUUAUGGUAAGAAAUAUACAUGGUUGCUGAACUUAAAUCUAAAUUUCGAACUCUUUGUGAUCACAAUAAUAUGAUUUGAGACAUAUCCUCCUUUUUCUCUCUCUCUUCUAUCUCUUGCUCUCUUUCGUAUCUUACUUUUUCCUUAUCCACAACUGUACUCUAAUAAUGCGAAAAAAAAGUCUAAAAUAGAACAGUCGCAUAGAUAAUGUGGUAUUUGUUGGAUUGUUCGUGCUAACCAUUAAUUCCAAAAGCACUACAACAGAAUUAGGUUAUAGGGACACAUAUUUAGGACACUUUUGAGUAAGUAUCUCAUUUAUGCUAAAACUUAAAAACACAUCUACUAAUGCCUAAAUAUAAAGCCCAAUCCAACCAAAAAUAAAAGAUUACUCUACUAAACCCACCACACCCAGUCCAUUUGGCCCGAUUACAAACAGAAAAGAAAAAAAAAAAAGAAAAAUUAAUUACCAUCUUUUCUUCUCUCUUCACUUAAUCCACUGAAAUUCUAGACGAAGAGCCUUUACUGUCGUCCUCCUCCGCCACCGCAGCCAAUGAGAUAGAGUUUCGGUGGUUGCUAAAUGCUUAAAUAAGUAUUGAUAAAUUAGCAGCACUCUUUUAGGUUAUAGCGACACUCUUUAACUGUCACUAUAUACCUAGCGACCCCACAUAUAGCAACAAUUUUUAAAAGUGUCGGUAAUUUUAGCUAGCAGCACUUUUUUGACAUGUACCUAUAUUUAAAAGUGUCGCUAUAGACCAUUUUUGUUGUAGUGAAGCUCGAACUGUUAGAAAUACGCAAUCAAUUCACUUAAAGCGUACAGAUACAGCGCCCAUGGAUCUCGAUUGUGACUCGGUCCAACCAGCCUUAUGUCAUUUCGAACAUGACUCCGCCUACAUGACCUCCCGCCGUAGAAUAGGAUGCUGGCCCAUUUAAACCAGCAAUAUUAUCUUCAACCAAUCACAUUUGAACCCUAGAACUCACUCAUGAUUCGAUCACGGGGUUUUAGAAAAAUAUUUUCUUUUGUAUUUUUCAAUAAAGUAUGGUCUCACCUUGCUUUCAAUAAAGUAUGUUUUUCCUCAAGUACGAGUGCCCUCACCUUUCUUUCAAUAAAGUAUGGUCUCACCUUUCUUUCAAUAAAGUAUGUUUUUCCUCCAGUGCUAGAGUCCUCACUUUUCUUUCAAUAAAGUAUGUGUGUGUGUGUGUGUGUGUGUGUGUGUGUGUUUUAUAUAUCGUUUCUCCCAUUUCUUCUCACAAUAAACAAGAUGCAUAGGCUUUCAUCAUGCUCUCUCGAUCUCUUUCCAUUAUGGUGCCUUAUCUUAAUCUACUCGUUGUCCCCCGUUGAUCGAAGCACUAGUUUGGUCAUCAUAUUGUCGAGCACUAGUUUGGGCAUCGUGAUCAGUAUUCUAAUCAUAGUGGUCCGCGGUGGAUUCAAUAAAAGUGAUGUCGCUCACCAGCUGGGUGACUGCUUCCAUGGGUGUGUUUGAUUCGCUCAUUUUUCACACUCUUAAAUUAGAAUUGGAAUAAACGAAUCUGUUUGUUCGUAUUUGGUAUAUAAGAUUUUCAUUCUAAUUUUUAUUUCUCGGUGAAUGCGAAUCCCUUAAUUACUUCUUUUUCCAAUCCGGAUCCGGACGGAAUGGAUUUGUUCGGAUUAAAUUUAAUUUUUUUAAACUUAUUUUUUAAUUAAAAUAUAAGUUCAAGUUUAAAAAUUAUGUUUAUAAAUUUAAAUUUAAAUUUGAACUUAAAUUAAAAAUUAAAAUUCAAUCAAGUAUUUCGAAUCUAAUUUAUAAAUUUGAAUUUGAAUUUAAAUUUAAUUUAAAAUCUAAAAUUUUCUUCCAAUUUUAUUUAAAAUUUAAAUUAAAAUAUAUGAAUUCAAAUUGAAAUUUAAAUUAUAAUUUUAAGUUUGAAUUUGAAUAAAUCGAAAUUAAGUUUUAUAUUUUGAAUUAUCCGUUCAAUUUCUAAUUUUUAUUUUUUAAAAAAUAUAUUUAAAAUUUUGACAUUAUUUUAAAUAUUUGAAGUAAAUUAUUAAUAUUUAAUUUUUAGUUUGAAUUUAAACUAAUAUAUUAUAAAAAUAAAAUUGACAUAUUAAUUUGCUUACAUUUUUGAUAUCAUCUAUCUGAACCAAACACCGACAAUAGAAAUGAUUCAUUCCGAUUCUGAUUCAGGUGGCAAACUAUAUAAAAUAAGAUAAUGAAUCAUUCCAAUUCUAUUUCCAAUUUAUUCUCAUACCGUUUUCGAUACUAAUUUCGAUCUUGAAUCAAACACACCCUUUAUGUCCCAAGUUUGUCUUUAUAGUUUUUUUUUCCUUUAUUUCUCAUGGGCUUUCACGAUUAUGCCUUUGAUUGUUCUGUUAACUUAGUUGCUUAGAUUUGGGAACUAAUCUAUAUAUCUUUCUCAUCUCUAUUUAAAUUAGGUUUGGGGACUGUCUAUUGUAUCUUUCCAUUUGUUUGGUUUUGGAAUUUUAUGUAUGUUUUCUUUUUAUAUCUUUAUUGUUCAGGACUCUGCUCAAAAUUUUUCUUGAAAAUUAAUUAUUGUCAUAAUCAAGUCCUACUUCAAGGGAAUGCCUACGGUUUUUUUCUUUUAAAAAAAUAUAUAUCAUUUUAGAUAUAUAUAACUCAUAUAUAUAUUUUCCAAAGUGAACUAUUUACAAACCCAAAAAAAGGUGAAAUAAAAAGUUAGUAAAUUUUUCCAUUUUUUUUAAAAAUUAUUUGUUAAGUUCAUUGAGGUUAAAAGCGUUAGGAAUGGCUUCCAUUUCGCUGUUAAUUGUAGAUUGUUUAAAACUUUGUAACUGUUUCGUGUCAAAAAUUAAUCAAGAGUACUAUUUUUUGUUUUUUUGUUUUGAAAAUAAGUUUGCAAACUUACAAUAAUAUAUAAAAAAGAGUAUAUAGAGAAGUCCAUCUCUAGUUUCUUGAAUAAAGUAGAACUUGAGCAAAGCAAAAAUAAUAUACACAAACAAGGGCAAAUACAACAUUAGCUAUUUAAAAAACAGGGGUUAUUUUUAUAAAUUUUAAAUUUUUUAAUCAAAAUACUAAAUUAAAUGGAAAUAAUUUAUUAUUAUUAUUUUUUAAUUUUAUAUAUUUUUAAAAAAUUAAAAAAUUAAAGGGCCGGCCUGGGGCAUGGCCCGGCCCGGCAUGGCCCGUGACUUCUGGGCUGCAGGGCUGUGCUGGGCUGGGAGCUGGUUAGCUCUGGCCCAGCACGGCUCGGCCCGAAUUUGACGACGGGCUGGGCCGGGCCGCCCCAUGGCUCAUUUCAGCCCGACUAAUGAGGGCCAUGCCGGUCCGGCACGGCUCAUAUUACACCCCUAUCCCUAAUCUUUAUUAUUUUGUUCAUUAUGGCCUUUGCCAUCUAAGCAUUACACAGAGUAACUAACUCAACGCAACUUCUGUGUUUACGACCCAAAACUAUGAUGCUAGAUAAAGUAAGUCUUGUGUGAUAACCAAACUCGGUAAUAUCGAUCAAAAUGCUUUUGUUUAGUUAUUAGUAUCAGAAUGUUUAUUGCUUAUAUACUGGCAAUAAUUUCUUUUUAUGCAAUACGAAACUAGUUGAGUACUGUAGAUUCUCCCUUUUUAAACUUUGACGGUUAAACUUUGACACUCAAUCAAUUUUACACACAGAGACUCUCUUCGUUGCAAAUGGCGCCCUUGUGAAUUCUAGCCGAACACAUAGUCCAAAAUAACUAGCUAGACAUGAGUUCUUACUUUAAGCUUAUAACUGCUUUGGUAACAUCUGUUAUACCCAGUCCACUAGAUCCUAAGCAAGAACCAUAAGCCAAGUUAUUAAUAUUAGAGUGCUUGGUCCUUGCAUACCCAGAGGAAGUUUCGUUUCAAGCCAAUAUGAAAAUAUUGGAGUGUCACAUCUUAAUAAGUGUCACGCAUCUUGUUACCAAAACCUAUGGCUUACCCCAAAAAAAAAAAUUCUAUAGAUGAGAUUUUUAUCCAUAUAUGUGAAAAAAACUACAGUUGCAUAUUGUUUCCUUUAAAUUUGAUAUUAGCACAUAAACUAGGCUGAGAUUGCGACGCCCUAAUAGUCCCACAUUUUGUGGGAAGGAAAUUAUGCAUGAAAAUUUAAGGACCAAUUAAUGCUCUAAUAGUAAUAACUAAGCUUAAACAUUUUAGGUUAUGUUGGUUCAUAAUUGAAAUAUGGAUAGAAAAAAUAAUUGGGUUGUAUUGGAAUAGAACAUGAAAUAGCAAAUCAUGCAAAAAUAUUUGUUUUAUUAUUGGAAUAGAUAUUAAAAUGGAUAUCUAGAAUUAGGGUUUUGCUUAAGAGAGAAGGGAGUGAAAAGGGAAGAGAAGAGCGAAGUGUUUGAGAGAGACGGCUUUGAGUGAUUUACUUUGGAAUGGACCAAUCCAGAAUUGAAAGCCGGAUAGAGCUAUAAAUGGAUAUGGUCAUUCCCAUUCCAAAAUGGAGUGCAAAUAGAAAUUCUUUUUCUGUAAAACAAGUAACAAUUAUCAGAAUCAAUAAAAAUCUCAUUUUGAUCCAAAGUCUAAAAUACAUAAACCAAACAAGUCUUUAGUUUCAGAGUCGGUAUCGAUAUGCUAGUCGAUAGUGUGAGAUAAGAUGACCUAAUAGUCCCACAUUGGAUGAAAGAGAACUAUGCAUGGAAACUUAAGGACCAAGGCUUAGUACUAAAACUGGCCUUAAGCAUUUUGGGCUAAUGGUUUAGGCCGAAUGAGUUAUUAGUUUAGUGGAUUUUAGUCGUUAUAGAGAUGUUGCUAGGCCUUGGUGCUAUAGAUUCAUUUUUGACGAUAGGGCUUUCGAUUCAAUAACCGACACGGCUAAAAAUGGUUGAGGUACUUUGUAAAUCGUAUAAACAAAUUUUGGAAUAAUUUGAUGCCAUUCAUGUAGUGAUCAAGCAACCUCAAAAUUGAAAGUUUUUCAUUUUUGUUUUAUUAUAUUUUUAAGAAUUUUUAAAUUGGCCAAUUUGCAUAAAAAAUCCACUACUUUUGUGAUUUUUAAAAAGUGGGUCAUUAUUCUGAUUUUGUAAAUUCGGGCAAGAUUUUCAGAAAAUUAAUCAAAAUACCUUUAUUCUCUUUUCUCUCUCUCUCUUUUUUUUCCUUUGUUCUUUUUUUUUUUUUUCUUUCAGACCCUCCUCUACCACCUCCGCGGCCCUCAACGAUGGACGAGGGCAGCGCUGUCUCCUCUUCCUCCACCUCUGCCUACGCCGGUAUCAACACCGAAGUCGGCGCCAGAGGAGAAGAACUCGGAGUCGCCUCUGCCUCUGCCUCCGUUGGCAUCGGCAUCAACACAGCGCUAGAGGCGAAGAACUCAGAGUGGGCGUGGAUGAGGGCGAAGCAAAUGGAAGCGAUGAGCUCGUGGCCGAUGAGGUGCUCACUGCCCGUGAGAAUGAGGACGAAGACGUGUCCAUCUCCAAGGAGCGAAAAAAGAUAUAGAGGGUAGAAAAAAAAAGUAAAAAAAUAAGAAAAAAUUUCUCCUUAAAAGACCAUUAUAUAUCAUCGUAUUACAGGAAAGGCCAAGAAUCAGAGAAGAAUGAAGAAGAAGAUGAUGGUUGCACUAUUAAUAUAAAGUUACACUGUUUCACAAAAAAAUACACUAUUUAAGAUGAAUGUUGUACUCUUUGAAAUGAAAAUUGUAUUCUUUAAAAUAAAUUUGCAUUCUUUCGACAAAAGCUAUAUUAUUUUAGAGAAAAUUGCACCCUACUUUCUAUGGCAACCACUCUCGCCAGUGCAAAAAUGGGUUGUAGCUCGGCUUCUUCCUCUUUUCAUAAUCAUUUUUGAACUACGAAACGCUUGGUUUCCAUUUUGGUUGUAGGUGUAACCAACCUGCUAUUAAAGAUAUAGUAGAAAUAGAAAAGGACUUUCAUUUCCAGUCUACCAUUAUUUAAUAUUUUAUUUAUGCAGUGAUUUCAAAUCCAGAAGCAUCAAGUAAAAUCAUUCUAUUCGGAUUCAGCCUCCCCUACGCGAGGCUCGCCUUAUUCCCACGCGGCAGCGGAGAUCUGCUACCGCCACCGCCACUGCCACCACCGGCGUCGGAGCCAUGUUCAACAAGAUCAUCAAGCACGGCGGCCGCAAGAUGCCCAAAUCCGAGUCCUCCUCCCUCGACCCCUCCUCCCCGCUCCCUCUGCUCUGCUCGUCUCCAUCAACCACACCUCCCGCUCGACCACUGCCGUUGCCGCCGCAUCCCCGCUCUCCCCGGGCUCUUCCUCCAUCGCCAGCCGCCGCACGAGCUCAUUGAGUUCAUCCAAUCCGACUCCUCGGGGCACGUCCCAGAGCCCCUCUAGGACGAGCUCCAACACGACGCACGGGGUGGAGAGGCUCGCGCUAGCAAGGGUGGUCGCCAUGGACUGUAGAGUGCAAUUUUCUCCAAAACAUUAUAUCGUUUGUUGAAAUAGUGCAACUUUCAUUUAAAGAGUAUAAUUUUUAUCUCAAAGAGUGUAACGUUCAUCUCAAACUGUGCAAUUUUCUUAUGAAACAAUAUAAUUUUAUUUUAACAGUGCAAUAUUCAUAUUCUUCUUUCUUCUCUGAUUCUUAGUCUUUUCUAUAACAACGGCGAUAUAUAAUGGUCUUUUAAGGAAAUUUUUUUUUAUUUUUUAUUCUUUUUUCUAUCCUUUAUAUCUUUUUUCUCUUCUUGAAUAUCGGCACGUCUUCAUCCUCACCCUUAUAGGCGUCAAACACCUCCCCGGCCAUGAUCUCAUCGCUUCCGUCCCCGCUGUCCUAUUCACGCGCACUCCGAGUUCGCUUCCUCCAACACCGGUGUCGAUACCGGCACCGGCGGAGGGGGAGGAAAAGAAGGCAGCACCGCCCUCAUUACCAUCGCCGAGGGCCGCGGAGGUGGUGGAGGAGGGUUUAAAAAAAAAAAAGAACGAAAGAAACAAAAAUAAGAGAGAAAAGAGAAUCAUGGUAUUUUAGUCAGUAUUUUAAAGAUUCGAUCCGAAUCUGCAAAAUCUAGAAUAAUGGCCCACUUUUACAAAAUGGCAAAACUAGUGAAUUUUUUAUGCAAAUUGGCCUUUAACAUUCUAUACGAGGCGUUUUCUCUUUUAAUAGAGUAGAAAUGCAUAACAUGAGUUGAGUUGUGUAUAAACAAUCUUUUCACUAUGGAAAUUGAAAUAUGUUAUUGUGAAUUUUCCAAUGAAAGAAUUUAAUCCUCUAAUUUUAGAAGGUUAUUGAUUUUUGACUAUUUAUUUUAUGACCUUUCGAUGAACUAAAUUAAAAAUAUUUUUUGAAAAAUCAUAUAAAACAUUUAAUUAAAAAAAUCAACUACUCAAAAUUACUUAGAUGAUGCCCAUGUCAUUUCAACCACUCUAACCCUCUGACAUUGAAAAUGAGUUUAUAGCAUCAAUAAUGAUAACUUAAUUGUUAAAAAAAAAAAAAAAAAAAAAACUUCAAAAAACCCUAUGUGGUUUCAUUUUUUAUCACUUUAGUACCCUAUGGUUUAAAAUGUAUCAAGUUAGUACCAUGUGAUUUCUCACUUUAUCACUUUAGUACCUAAUGGUUUAAAUUGUAUCAAGUUAGUACUCUGUGUUUUGCACUUUAUCACUUUAGUACCCUAUGGGUUUAAUUUUCUAUCAAGUUAGUACCCUGCGGUUUUUAAACCACAGGGUACUAAAGUGAAAAAGUGCGAAACCACAAUGUACUAAACUGAUAAAGUGCAAAACCACAGGGUACUAACUUGAUACACUUUAAACCACAGGGUACUAAAGUGAUAAAGUGAUAAAUCAUAGGUCCUAACUUGAUACAUUUUAAACCACAUGAUACUAAAGUGAAAAAAAGUAUAACCACAAGUAGGGUUUUUGAAAUUUUCCCUAAAAAAAAAAAAGACAUAUGCAUUAAUACCAUUUUUUUUCAGGAAUUAAUACGCCUUUACAUUGUUAAAAUAUUAUCUUGAAACUUAAAUCACAAGUAUUAGGAUUGUUUCCAAUCUAUAUUGCUUAAAAGAUCGAUAUCAUAGAAAAUAACUUAAAAAUAUAUUUAACGAAAAAAAGCCUCAGAACCCAAUUUAAUUAUGUCAUUAUAAACACUACCUAUUUUUGUUUGCUCCUUGCGUAAAAGUCCAAAAAAAAUAAAUAAAAAUUGUGAAAUAACAAGUUCAUGAUUCAAACAAGCCCACAAAUAUAGCUCAAGAGGUCACCUUCACUUAUCUAUUAAACUCUACUUUGGUGCUAUUUCAGUUGCCAUAUUAUAGUGUUUGUUCUUUUCCAAACAUGCAUCAUUAAUCAUCAUUUUCUCAUCAAUCUAUAGGGAUAUCUGUAAUAUCUCUGGAGUUCAGCAUUUGGGACUUGACGACAGCUAUGGAGAGUGUCGGGACAAAUUCGAGUCAUAUUGGCGCGAAAUAGAUGUCAACUGGACUUAGUGGGAUGCGAGGGCAGGAAAUUAGCACUGAAAUAUGCAAAAUAGCAGAUUUUCUGCAUUGAGAACCGGUGACAACCAGGGGUGUACCGGUACCCUGUGUAAUAUGCACGCAGACCUGCUCUCGGAUUGCAUUUUCUGUUGCGGGGUAUUGGUACAACAUCGACUUGGUACCGGUACUCCAGGGUAGGUGAGGGGCUGUUUGGUCUUUUGGCUAUCUCGUUGUUUUCACCCUCUCUCCCACUCCUUCAUAUACGUGUAGAGAGGCCAGGAAGGGGUUUUGCUGAUAUUCUCUCCCUCUCUCUCUAAGAUUGAGCCGUACGUGGAGGAGGCUUCGGGUGGAGUUCGGGUCUACAUCGACAUUGCGCCGCGGUGCCGUUCGAGCGUGCGUUCGUCGUGGUAACGUCGUUGGGAAGCCGGGCGAGCGUGUGGUUCUGCUUCUAGCGACUUCUCGCCGGUUUUGGAGUAGCUUUCGAGGUGGGUCAAAGUGAUUCUUACCGGAUUUCGUGGAUUUCCUCCUAAUUCUAUAUGUUGACAGCAUGUGCUUUUUAGCUUCGUUUAGCAUAUUGUUUAGCUCGAUUUUUGGAUUUGUAUAUUUUUUAUCUUGAAUUGGAGCUUAGAAUACUAGCUAAAUAAUACAUGUUAGACUUGGAUUUGACUUAGAAGAAAACUGGCUUUCUACACUGUCAUAUGUUCAAACUACUAGAUUUAGUUUUAGGAACCGUAGUUUGUUUGUAUCGCCGCAGUUUGUGGGCGAUAGAUAUCCGGAAUAGUGUAGAAUAUAUUUACGCUCGUGCUGAGGUGCCAAGUGUAUUUUACGGCAGUGUUUAGACUGUUCCGGAUUGUCGGUUGCCGUUGAGGUUGACGGUGAACCCAGAUUGCGGUUUUUGCAUCAGAUUGUGCCGAGGGCACAUAAGUACAGUUGUUAGACCCUGUUUACUUGACUAUAGCCUGUGAGAGCCUGGUUGAGCUUGACAGAGACACGCUUGCAUACUCGGUUGGGUAGCGCCUACUAGUGCCACUCCGGAGUCGGGCUUUGUGCUCUUGCGUUGGUGUCGUUUUGUCCUGAUUGGACUUGCUCUCCACUGACGAUCUGGUUUGGUGUUAGUUAGUGUAGCUUCGACAGGCAGGACAAGUGAGUUCACAGUCCCUAGUGAGAUUGGGUCAGGUUGUACUUUUCUACAGAUAGUUGGUGUUAGACCGAGAUAGUAUAGAUGCAUAUAGCUGUAGAUUUAUUCCAGCUUUCUUACUAUACUUGUUUACAUCUGUAGACUUAGUGGGUGAGCCGUUGAGGUCGGUAGCGGUACCCACUGAGGACUACUUUUUUUUGCAGUAGUUCUCACGCCCAGUUGUUGGAAUCUUUUGCAGAGCCUUCUUCUUCAGCUGCUGCUGCUGCUGAUUCGGACCGUGGAAAGGGAGUCGCGUGUUAGAUCCCUUCUCAGUUGCUGUUGAGCUAGAGUAUACUAGCUACAGGUAGUGAUAGUUUUUGAGUUCAUAUACAUACUUAUGUUGUAUCUUGCUGGAGCGAGCUUUUUGUAUACAUGGAUGUGAUGUAUAUAUGUAUAGUGAACUUUUAUUUUUCUUAUGUAUGCUUUCUCUUUUAGCAGUUCUACACUACUGGUUGUAAUGUUGUAUGAUUACAGGUACAGCUUUCGCUUUGUAUACAGAAAAAAUUUCUAUACAUACGACGGGUCUGUUAGCGUGUCCGGGAAAACUAAUAAUCCGGGGCGUGACAAUAUCAACGGAUAGGAUUUGGGGUGGGUUUUCAAAAACCUGAACCCUAACCCAACUACCCACCGGAACUCCAAUCUAACAGAUUUUAAAAAUUAAUAUCCAAAUUGAAACCCAAUUGAAAAUCCGAAAUCUGAACCGAACCCGAAAACCCAAAUCCGAAAAAAUUGCUUUUCUGGUUUGGAUAGAAUUUUGAAUAAUCUAUACCCAUUGAUAUUAUCUACAUUGUACCUUAAGUAUAUUUUUUUAUUUGCUACCCUAGAAUUUUUACUUUUUUCAAAGUCACCACUAAAUUACCAUAUUUUGGCUAAUCUCUAUAUUAUUAUCAACAAAUAUAUUGUUUUACACGGAAGCUAACAAAUCCAUUAAAAAACACUAAUUAGAUAAUGAGAGAAGGACAAAAGCCUCAAAAAUAGAUUCAUUUAUAAAUUAGUUCUCACCUAUUUUUUUUGCUAAUUUCUAAAUUUUUUUCAAAUUAAUUAUAUACAGAGCCCUGCAAAUUAAUAUAGUGAAUUAUAACUAUAUCACUACAAUGUUCAACUUUUAUAUAUUGUCUCUAUAAAAGUCCUAAUAUUUUCAAAUAUGUUCAUGUCAUUAGAAAAUGUUAGAAAAAUUUAGUCGACCAUAGGUUAAAUAUACUUUGUGAGAUAACUUGAUAUUUUUACCCUUUUAUAUUAUACUGUUGUGACUUUUGGAGGAACAUAUUUGUGAUGGCAAAAUUGAUAUUUCACUUAUUUGCUGUUAAAAUAUAAAUAAUUUUUAAUAGUAAUAAACCAGAGUGAUAUAUUUGAAAAUAUUAUAAUUUUUAUAAAAACAACAUAUGAAAGUUGAACUUUGUACUGAUAUAUUUGCAAUUCACUAUAUUUGCAGGUACCUGUAUGCAUUUAACCUUUUUUACUUAAUUAAAAUAGGGUGAAUGUACAGAUAAACAACAUAUGAAAGUUGAACUUUGUACUGAUAUAUUUGCAAUUCGAUCACUAUGUUUGCACGUACAUAUAUGUAUUUAACCAUUUUUACUUAAUUAAAAUAGGGUGAAUGANCCUUCCAAAAAAAACAAAAAAACCUCCCAAAAACAAAAAAAAGUGGUGUUUCUUGGAGAAAAAAAAAAAGUAUUCAUAGGAAAUGGAAAAAAAAAAAGAAGAAAGCCCUAAACUGCUAUGUAGUAUAGAAUAGUCUCUUUUUUCGCAGUUAAAUAAAAACUAAGCAGCUUUUGUAACACCAAAACCACUAAACCUACCUAAUUAGUUUACAAUUUAAGGUAGGGAAUGGAACCUACCCUAAUUUAUUAGGAUCUGAUGCGGCUAAUUUGGCAAUUAGAUUUUAUAGAGAAACUUGAUAUAACUAAGUGGGCGAAAAUCACAUUGAGUUAAAAGCAAUUCUUACAAACAGACUCAAAAGUUUUUUAAACAGUUAUAACUUUUCACACGUGUCCAUUCUUAAUGUGCAGUCCCAAUUCGUGAACAAUUUUUUAAGAUCUACAUGUUGAACUGCUUCACUGUUCAGGCAAGUUUGAAAUCCAAAUUCAUGCAGGAUAUUUUGAGUCAGAUUGAAGAGUCAGUUGUGAUCAAAUUAGAUUUAGAGAUAUUUUAGAUUCUGUUAUUUUCUUUCAUUGUAGGAUUCUAAUAUUGCCUACAUAAAUAUAUGUUGUUCGAUUAUUGUAAGCGGUUUUAGAAUUUUGAUCAGUAAUAUAUUUGUUUUCGUUUUUGAAAUAUUAUCUUCUUCAUGUCUUUUUUCUUGCUUGCUAUGCUUCUUCUUUCUCAACACGGUUUAGACCUGCACUAGAAUUUAAGAAAAACACCGACCGUCCCUAGAGCAAGUGGCAAAGGGCUUGGUGGUUGGUACCUGAGGUCCCAAGUUCGAAUCCUAGUUGAUUCACAUUGCUAACAAGUUUAUUUCUAAAUGAAAUAAACAAAAGCGGGUAGCGUGCUAACUAUCUCUCAAAAAAAAAAAAAAAAUCUAAGAGAAAUUUUUGUUCUCUUAAAGGAGCUAGCAUUCUGUUUUGUGGCGAAAUGUCAAGUUGAAUCGAAUCACGUUCGAAAUGGCAGAAGGUCAUGUAGGACAAAAUCAUGUUCGAAGCAGUAGAAAAUUAACUGAGUCGAAUUACAAUCAAGAAUGUUGUGUUUGCAUACUUUGAGAAAAUUAAUUGUAAUUUUUUAAAAGCAAUAAUUUUUUAAAUUAUUAAUUUGCGCCACCCUAAUAUAUAUAUAUAACUGUCAUACCACAAUGCAUUUAUAUAGUCUAAGCUCUACACAAAGGAUGUAAAGUCCCACUUAGCUGCUGGCAUUGCAUGCCACAAAUGAAAAGCUCUAGAAGGUCAAAAAGAUUAGACAUAUUGUGGGAUAGAAAAAAAAAUAAAAAAUUACACUAUCAAUGCCUGUUUUUUCCAAACUUAGUUGACCAAGUCACAUCAUCAAGAGAGGUUGUUCUCAAGGAAUAAUAAUAAUAAUAAUAAUAAUAAUAAUAACAAGGGCAAUGCUCCUAUAUACCAAAUAAACCUUAGUCCUUAAAUUUUUUAAAAUAGAUGGUAGUGAUGCAUCUUUUAUAAAGGGAUGACCGGCUCUUGUUAUAAUCGGUACCAGUCACCCUCCCUACCGAAGGCAAAAACUUCCUCAUUAUAUGGAGUUGCACUGAGGGUAUUUUCGUAAAUUCUCAUCCUCAUAACAUACCAUUCUUGUAAAUGUAGAAUAUUUCAUCUUUUUCGAUUCUUAUCCUUCAAUAUUUCAUAUAUAAUUACUUUUCUUAAAUUAAAUUUUCUUUACUAAUGAAUCAUAUUCAAAUUCAAAAUAUAAAAUGAUGCAUUAUUGAAAGAAUUUAGCCUAUCCGUUAUUCUUGAGUCUAACUUGAACAAGAGCUUGAAAGGUUAGCCAGUUUUAAAUUUAUUUGUACAAUUUGAGUAUUAAAUAAAAAAUUAAAUUUGUCGCAAAUUUAAAUUUUUGUUGCAUCCAAAAUUAUAUUCAAAUAUAAAAUAUUGCAAAUAACAAGUUAUAUUAUGUAAUCUCUUAGUAAUAGAAUAUGAAAUAUUGUCCCUACGUCAAUGUUUAAAAAAUUUUGAAUUUGACCUUGUGAUCAAUAGUUUUAACUAAUUAAGUUCAUUACCUUAAUUAAAAUAAUUAAAACUUUUAUGAUCUUCAUAAGUUCCGGUAUAAAUUAUAUAUUUUCUUCUCAAAUCAUGAGAAACGUAACACUUUGGUAGACUAACUUUAGUAAAUUGUAAUUUCAAAUUAAAUCUUUUUGAUUAUUACAUCAAUUCUAAUGGUCCAAUUUAGAUAGCCGAAUUAUGAUUUGACGUUGAUGUGGUAGUGAUGUAGCAUUUUAGCCAUUCUCAUACCAUCAAUUAUAAGUUCAAUUUAGAUUCAAAUUUAAAAGUUUAAUAUAAAUUUCAAAAUUAAAAUUUUACAUUACAAUACCAAUUUCAAAAAUUAAAUUUAAAUUCAAUAUUUUUUUGAGCUGGAUACUUAACAAAUUGGGUAUCAUCUAAUUUGGUAAGUUAUUAAAGUAAUAAGAUAUUUAAUACUUAAAGGAUGCUGAUAAAUUUGGUAUAUGCUAAUUUUUUUUCCAAUAUUGUCAUGUUAACUUAUUCAAAUCGGUAACCUGUUCAACAGGUUACUUCAUGUAAAUCCCAAUUAUACCUUUUAAUAUUUAUGGUGUAUUGAAGCAUUCCUCUAAUAAUAAUAAUCUAUAAUCUAUAAUUUAUAAUCUUCUAUAACACUAAUGAAAGGAGAGCCUAAAGCGGCUCUCCCCGCGUUUUGUGGGGGCCGGUGGCCCCCACUUUUUUUUUUUUUUCCCUCUCUCUCACUCUCUUACUUUCUUUUUUUUCUUUUUUUUUUCUCUCAACACUCUCACUCUUCUCCCUCUCUCUCUUACUUUCUUUUUUUUAAAUUUUUUUUUCUUAACAUUUUUUUUAAAUUUUUGCCUACAUUAAGUAUAAAAUUUUAUCGUAUGUAUCAAUUCUAUUUUUUAAUAGUCAAUAUAACAAAUAAAUAUAAAAUUUUAUUGCAUAGAUCAAUACUAUUUUUUAAUAGUCAAGAUAACAAAUUCAUAUGGUUUUUGUCCUUAUUUUUUUUUAGUCCUUUCUAUAAUUUAUUCUUAUAUUUUUAUUGCAGCAGUAGUUACUUAUUCUUUAGUUGCUUCCUUUUUUAUAUAAUUUUUUGACUUUUUCUACUUUCUUUACUUUAUUUAUUUAUUUAUUUAUUUAUUUGAAAUCAUUCCGCCGCAACGUGCCGUCCUUCACUAGUAAUAUAUAANUUUUUUUUAGUCCUUCUUAUAAUUUAUUCUUAUAUUUUUAUUGCAACAAUAGUUACUUAUUCUUCAGUUGAUAUUUAUUUAUUUGAAAUCAUCCCGCCGCAACGUGCGGUCCUUCACUAGUAAUAUAUAAUGAUAAAGCAAGUUAUCUAUGAGAUUUUGUUGGUGAGUUUAGUAUCUUUGUGCAUUAGACCAAUGGAAGUAGGGGGGAGCACUAUUCAAAUCGAAUUUUCGAACCGAAUUAAUUUAGUUUGAUCAGAAAAUUCAACUGGACCAGUUUUUUGUUUUAAGCACUUCGAUUUGAUCUAAAAUUUUAAUUUUUAAUGUUCGAUCUGGAUAUCUAACUCGAAAUCCAAACCAGCUGAAUUAAAUUAUGUGCUAUAUUUUAAAAUAUUUUAAAAAGUAAAAUAAAAUUUGAAAAUUUUGGUUCGGUCCACUGCUCUACUAAAACCGAUCGAACCAACCAAAUGCUCUCAGCCUCGAUGGAAAUAGAAAGGCUGUUUUAGAAGAGCUUUGUCACGCCCCGGGGUCCCUUUUCGGUCUGGAAAGACAGCGGAAACGACUAAAAUUUUUUUUUUUUUUGAAACACCUGACCCCAGAGUAUGUCAGAUCCACCACAAUUACAGGGAAUCCACUGUUCACACGGACAGAGUUUCCCCUGUAUUUGCACGGCGUCGCACAAGUACAGAUACACAAUCAGAGUACAACCAGAAUACAACCACAACCAUAUGAACACACAAUCACAACUGCACAUGCAGACGUUCAUACAUUCACCAUUCACAACGCGACAGUAUUCCAAGUUUUAAACAUAAAUCCAGAACUAUCAUUUAAAAUGUUUCCCACACAAAAACUUUUAUCUUUUAAAACGCUACCACGAGGGGUAGAAAACCAUCGAAAACUGUAUUGAAUAUGAAAAUCCUUUUUCUUUUUAAAACAAGCGCUACCACGAGGGGUAGAAAACCAUUUUACUUGAAAAGCUCAUAAAUCUCUUUUUAUUACGAAAACCCAGCAGAAAACUGAAUAUUCAAGUACCGAAUGAAACUGAACCAAAAUGAAAGUUUACUAUUUAUUCAAGCAAGGAAAAAUAGAUAACCAAACGGGACGGAGCUCUAUCGCGCGCUAGACUCGCUCCUCACCUGCCGUCCCACUCGGACCUGCGACGUUACCUGUAAUGGGGGCGGGGGCUGAGAACAUGUAAACAUGUCUCCCCUCCCAGUGGGUACCGCAAGCCGACGAGGGCGAGGGUACGCACCAGCAAAGGAGGCUAAGCAACAGUAAAGGUAAACAACUACAGUAGCUACUAUGAUAUAAGAACAGAAAGUACAAGUAAGGAACUGAUGUACAAGUAAUGAACUACUGCUACUGUAUGUAUGCAUCAACUGGUAGAUAGUCCAAGGAUACCCAAUCUAAACCUGCCUUGUUGGUCCNGAGCGGUUGAAAACGAGCUAUUGGAAGGCUAUAUUCGGAGUCCGAUACGCGUCGAAAGUCCACUUUACUUGGCGGCCUCUCCGGAAAACCGGAGUUACUAUUCACUUAAGUCAGACUUCCGGGUCGCGUAACUUCUCCGUUUUAACUCGUUUUCUCCUGAAAUUUGACGGGUACACUUAUAAUUAUAUUACACACAAGAACAUCAUCAAACAAAAGGGUUUAAUCAAUAAAUCAAAAAUCUCAGUUAUUACAAGCUUUUUAAGAGAUUUUAGAGUUUUAGGUAUUAAGAACUAUCAAAUAUUAUUAAUUAGGUUAAAAGGAGUAGGGAAAAAAAUAUUUAGUAAUAUGCUUCUACGUACAUUUCUGGUGAGAUCGCAAAAAUCAUAUCGUAACUGGAUUAUUGCAAUUACGCAAUACAACAUUUUUUAUAAAUUUUUCAUCGCACUUUCUCAACUUAUGUCACGUAUUCUCUUCACGAAUCCAAAUGGAUCGUAAGGGUUCGUUUAGAAUUACGGUGCGGUAUAUCUACGGCUCUACAAUAUCUAUAUCCCACUUGGGAAUAAGCAUGGAAUCUAUACCUACAUAUGAAUUUUCAUUGCUAAAUCCAUAUGGAAGUGCCACCUUCAUUUGAGGGUGGUGGGACCUACUAUUAUUUUUAAUCUUUUUUAUUCUCUUUUAUUUUAGUAAAACUAUUUUCUCUCUCGCAACCCUUUUUCUCUCUCUCUCUCUCUUUUUUUUUUUUUACUUCCAUCUCUUUUUUUUUUAAUCUCUCGAACCAAUAAAGGUGUCUCUCCCUCUCAAUGUAUGAUUUUAGGUUUUUCUUUUUCUCUCCCCUUUUUUGUCGCUCGCCGCUCGGAGCCCUUUGGCCCUCACUCGCUGCUCCUCAUGUGUCCUUGACAAGAACGACUUGCGGUGCCGUCACCAGCUGUCCUAUUCUCAACAAUUAUGGAAUAUCUAUAUUCUUAUGUUUUUAUUUUUUUUUAUCAAUUAUCUACCUGUCGCAUCACGCAGGUUAUUUCAGUAGUAUAUCAAUAUAUUCUCUAUAAAUCUAAUCCCCUACUCUCUACGCAUUUAAUGCAAUCACUCUUAGAAAUAUUCUUAUUCCUUUUUUUUUUGUCUUUUGGAGGAAACAUCAGUAUGCUGCCGGCUUCGUUCCUCAGAAAAGAUGAAUUAGACUAAAAAAUUAAUAAUAAUAGGAUAAAAAACUAUCUCUCAAUUUAUUUUUUCUUAAUCCUUAGUCUAUGAUGCAUUCAGUGCACCUGAUUAUCAUGUUAAUUUAGUUAUUAGCUCUAAUUAAUCCCAAUUGUUCCAGAGAUUAAGCAUACCCUAAAAUGUGUAUUAGAAACCAUAUGGAUCCAAAUCAAUAACUAAAAUACAUAUCCUUAACUAUGUUACGCAAAAUAUCUAUCUCAUAGGAAACGUACUAGAAUUAGCUUUAAUACCUCUUUUAUUCUCAUUUCAGGCUCACGUGCAUGGUAGAUAUCAGGCAAAUGUCAUAUUAGGUUCACAUGCGUAUGGAUAUCACGUAAACUUUAACGGGAACCUCGUAUCACAUGCACUGAUACUAAAGGUGGUAGAUUAAUAUCAGAUCAACCUCAUAUCAAGUUCACAUGCAUGAUAAGUAUCAGAUGAACGACACCACAUGCACCAGCCAAAGAGGUAAUUAAUAGAAGAAACAAUGAAAUGCUAAUAAAUAAGAAUACGAAAAUCGAACUCACAAUCUCUUGGAACAUACAGAGCUUCAGAUUAUCUUAAAAAAUCAAUCUCAUACGAAACGUUUGAGAAUUAGUCAUAGUAAAUUAAUUAGGAGCAUAUCAUGCGCUUUGUGAUUCGAUCAGCCUAGUCUACUUGAAUAUAUAGGACUUUGCAACUUCCCGAUUCCCAAGUACUGCUACUGUAUAUAAGUUGAAAUUAUGAACAGACAUUAAGAAUAAAAUACCACAUAAAUGUAUCAACAUAUUAAUAAUUUGUGGAGAUAUUAUUUUGUGGGACACCAAAAGCAGUUCCCCAUGCAUGUUAAUUUUCAUUAUAUUUUUAUUACGAAGGAAAGCGAUAAAAUUGUAAAUCCCAAAUUGGAUGCAAAUCAAAAUAUUCUCGUCUGUAUAUAUUGUGAGGAAUUUUUUUAUUAAUCAGCUUAAACUUUUAGAUUGGCUCGACCCAUUUAACGUGGUAUCAAAAUUUUUAGAAUUUAUCAUAUUGCCGUAUCCAUACUUUGUAUCUGUAUCUGUAUAACAUAGCUAUCAAGUUAAGCGCAUCUGGAAUGGAUGUAAGCUUUUGGAGUAAACACUUAAUUGUCAAGGAUGGAAGGUUCGCUGGCUAAGCAGAUCGAUCCCAUGCAACAUGUUCCAUUAAUGGGAAAAAUAAAGAUUCUUCUAUUUUUCUCAUGAUCUCGUGUACUUACAUUAAGGAAAAGCCCUCUUUAUUGACUUUACACAUGAGAAGCCUACAAAAUUAGGAGGUGGAGGCAUGCAUGUGUAGGGUAUAAGAUGAAAGGAAUGCUAAGCUAGUUGGCUUCCUCUCUUCCACGCCUUUGAAUUUGGAGACAAAGCGUAGCUUCAUUUAGACUUUUUCAAGAGAAGAAUCAGUUAUUAUUUUUAUAUUGAAGUACGUUUACCCUCACUUUCAUGCAUAAGCUCACAACUUUGACUCUUCUUUUACCCUCUAUUUUCAACAAAGAACCUCUUGAUUUGGAUAGGAAUUAGAGCAUGGGGGAAGCUUCCAAUUUGAGGGCAAAAAGGUUUACUUUAGAGAAUAUUUGGUUGCAUUUUAUUGCUAUUCGAUCUAUCGUUUGGAUUGUUGCAUGAGCAUUAAUUAGAUUGCUUCAGUAGAUGGAAUUAUGUACAAAUUAACUCUAGUUCCAACUGCAUUAGCUGAAGAGAGUAAUUUUCAAUAAAAAGUAACUAAAAUUAUCUAUCUAAUAAACUUUAAAUGGAAAAUUUUUAGUUUUUCUUCUUCGUUGGAGAUAACUUCAAUCCUUAACUAUAUGCAUCUUUCAAUGUACUGCAUUUACAGUUACAUCUAACUAAAUAGGACCCCAGAUUACUUUGUUCAUUUUCAAGAUGAGCCUGAUCACAAAUAGAAUUCACGCAAGUGAUUCGAAACUCAAAAUCUUCUGUUCACAUACCAUGCCUCUAAAUUGCCAUAUACCUGUUCAGUUCUGUUUUUAUUUUUGUACUAAACAAUAGCGGAUUAUAUACUAGAUCUCAUGGAGCAUAUAGAGCGUUUGAGAAAUAACAUUCUAAGCUCGAAUAGCAAAAGAUUCAAAUUGGUGCUUCUGAUUCUACCGCAUAAAGGAUGUAUAAUUAUUAUUUCGAAAUUUUGAAUUGCGAAUUAAAGGUAGUGCAUGUUGUAGUCUCCUCAAUUUGCUCCUCUAAUGAGGGGGAAUCUUUGAAACUUUGUAACACUUUUGUCUUUCUAAAAAGAGACAUAACCAAGAUCUCCACUUUGCAAUUAAGGACUUGUUUGAAUGUGCGUAACUUGUGCAUGAACUCGUGCUGUUGACAAAAGUCUAAUCGAAAUGCGUGUUUUUAAUCCACAAAGAUGAAAGGUGGAAACUGCCCGGCAUGUCCUUUGUUAUAUAUGGAAUGUAAGAGAAGGCAUGGAAUUUUAGUGACGAUCUCGAUCGACUUUGUGCCAGAAGUUAUCUAUCAAAUAUAUAUAUAUAUAUAUAUAUAUAUACACUCAUGGAAAACUUCUUAUAUAUUGGAAUAUGCUAAACUCCAAGAUGGUAAAGAAGAAUUAAUUAAAUGCUGUAGUUGGAUUUUAUAUAUAUGCCAUCCUCUUUAUUCUUUAGUUCCUUUUUAAAUGAAAGGGGCAUUGAAGCUAACUGAUUAAUUAUCAUAUAUAAUUGAUCAAAAUGAUUUGUUCAAAGGCAACUGGGAAUAUCUUUCACAAGCUUUAUUUAUUUUUAGUUCUUUAUUUUGAGAAAUUUCAAGUACUAUAUAAAUAAUAUCAAAAUUUUAAAAAAAUUAAUUUUUAGGUGAUUAAUUAAAAUACUCUAUAUUAAGUACUGUAAUAUAUACGAUCGUGGAUCUAAAAGGUGCAUUAUCCAAAAAAAAAAAAAAAAUUAAAAGUACAAAAACUUUUAUACUUUAAAAGCACCAAAGUUGGACUUUAGAACUUGGAUUGAAUUGAACACCCUCUAAUACCAAUAUAAAUGAGAAACAUACAUAAAAACAAGAAUAUGCUAUACAACCACUACAACAGAAUUAGGUUAUAGGGACACAUGUUUGGAACAAUUUUGAGUAAGUGUCCAAUUUAUACUAAAACUUAAAAAAACAUCUACCAAUGCCUAAAUAUAAAGCUCAAUCCAACCAAAAAUAAAAGAUUACUCUACUCAACCCACCACACCCAGUCCAUUUGGCCCGAUUACAAACAGAAAAGAAAAAAAAAAUGAAAAAUCAAUUACCAUCUUUUCUUCUCUCUUCACUCAAUCCACUGAAAUUCUAGACGAAGAGUCUUUCCUGUCGUCCUCCUCCGCUACCGCAGCCAACGAGAUAGAGUUUCGGCGGUUGCUAAAUGCUUAAAUAAGUGUUGGUAAAUUAGCAGCACUCUUUUAGAUUAUAACGACACUCUUUAACUAUCACUAUAUACCUAGCGACCCCACAUAUAGCAACACUUUUUAAAAAUGUCGGUAAUUUUAGCUAGCAGCACUUUUUUAACAUGUACCUAUAUUUAAAAGUGUCGCUAUAGACCGUUUUUGUUGUAGUGAACGAUGUGAUAAAUAGAGAUUUAAUACAUUAACCAUAUCG
RNAcentral lists this long non-coding RNA (59111 nucleotides) under Ananas comosus (pineapple). RNAcentral's name for it is "long non-coding RNA (ACOM_LNC001201)". Lineage: Eukaryota; Viridiplantae; Streptophyta; Magnoliopsida; Poales; Bromeliaceae. The record is from RNAcentral.